This 54781-nucleotide long non-coding RNA is filed under the name Vitis vinifera (wine grape). Its description in RNAcentral is "long non-coding RNA (VVIN_LNC001200)". The record is from RNAcentral. Lineage: Eukaryota; Viridiplantae; Streptophyta; Magnoliopsida; Vitales; Vitaceae.
GAUGGUUUCAAGGUGUAAGGCGAGGAAGAGAUACAUGAAGCAGUUUGUGAAGGCGAGGCAAGCCCUGUCUGCAGCCCACAGUAUGUAUAUCAGAUCCCUGCGUGGCACUGGCUCUGCUCUCCUUCAGUUUGCCACCGCCGAGACCAAUCUCUACCACCACCAUCUCACACCGAUUCUACCCUCUCCACCGCCGCCCAUGAGUCCCAGCUCCGAUACGUGGACAUCAUCACAGCCUCGCCCUCUCAUCUGCCGCCUCCGCCUCCUCCUCCUCCACCACCACAGCAGCCCUCUGAAUUUUUUUUUUUAAGGGGGGCACGUGGACAAAAUGAGGGAGGGGCACGUGGACACAAUUGAGGGGGUCCUUACAACGGCUAGAAAAAUACAACGGUCGAAUUCGAAUCUCUUUUUCAAUCUCUCCCUCUCUCUCUCUGUCUCAUUCUCUCCCUCUAUCUAUCUCUCUCCCUCUCCCUCUCCCUCUCCCUCUCUGAAACCCCCUCGCAACUCUCCCUCCCUCUCUCCCUCUCUCUCUCUCUCUGAAACCCCCGAAGAUGCAAGACAUGUGGAAUGUUCCCCCUGGUUUCAGGCCCAGCACAUCUGCGCCUUCGUCUCCCGCAAAGCCUAUUCGGGUGUCAAGAACUCGAUCAGAGUCCUUUCAUGUCACCCACAAAGUCCCUGUUGGCGACACUCCUUAUGUGAGAGCCAAAAAGGUUCAGGUAAGCUUCCGUUCUGGGUAAUCUUGAAAUUUGCCAACAAACCGAGGUUUCUUCUUUUGCGUGAUUGAUCUCUGUUUGAUGGGUUUGAUUAUGACUUUUGUUGCAUCAGUUGGUUGACAAGGACCCGGAAAAGGCAAUCCCGCUAUUUUGGGCCGCCAUUAAUGCUGGAGAUCGAGUGGAUAGUGCGCUCAAGGACAUGGCCAUUGUGAUGAAGCAACAGAACAGGGCUGAAGAAGCCAUUGAGGCUAUUAAAUCGUUGCGAAGUCGUUGUUCAGAUCAAGCCCAAGACUCUCUUGAUAAUAUCCUUCUGGAUCUGUACAAGGUCCUGUCCUUUCGAAAUUCCUUAUCACUUGUUUGUAUCUGGCUAUUUAAGAUUAUUGAGUACUGAUUUUUGUCUUUUGGAAAUUCGAUUCGACAGAGAUGCGGGAGAUUGGAUGAUCAAAUUGCACUUUUGAGGCACAAAUUGUUCUUGAUUCAACAAGGGAUGGCUUUCAAUGGGAAGCGCACCAAGACUGCCAGAUCCCAAGGGAAAAAAUUUCAGGUGUCCGUGGGACAAGAAGCGACUCGGUUACUGGUAAGCACACGGUUUUUCUGCUAGUUUCAGUCCUCUAUCUCUCCCUAAACUCCAUAUUGAGACGAAUUUCCAUUUCAGGGGAACUUAGGAUGGGCAUUGAUGCAGCGGAACAACUAUAUCGAAGCAGAAGAUGCCUACAGGCGGGCACUUUCAAUGACUCCAGAUAAUAACAAGAUGUGCAAUCUGGGUAUCUGCUUGAUGAAGCAAGGGAGGAUUCUGGAAGCCAAAGAAACCCUUAGAAGAGUGAAACCGGCUGUUGCAGAUGGACUGAGAGGUGUAGAUUCCCACCUCAAAGCAUUUGAGAGGGCACGGCAGAUGCUGCUUGAUCUUGAGUCUGAAAUGUUGAAUAAGGGAAGCGACCCUGUCGAACAGAGUCGGCUCUUUGAUGCCUUCCUCAGUUCUUCCUCGCUUUGGCAGCCUCAGCCUUGUAAGGACCAGCACACAACGAAUACAAUCAAAUCUCAAGAUGAUUUUGGGGAUGAGAACUUCGACACCAACAGAGUCAUGAAGGUUCUUCCUGGACAGAAGAUUGCCAAACCAACGGCUGUUCAUGCGAACUCACUCAACGUCGCGGCAUUGCCAUUCUACUCAUCAAAGAUGACCAAGGACCCAAUUGGAAAACCACUGCAGGAGUCCCUUAAGAGAACAAGAUCAGGGCUUGCUGCUAAUUCGAUAGGAGUGAAUGAAACAGGGGCGUUCAGAAAGCCCUUAAUGGAAUCCAUGGAACCAGAAAAUAAGACUAGAAGGCAAUCUCUUUCACCCGAAGAAAAUGGGGACAAGUGGGCAGACUUGCUGCCAGACAGCAAGGAGUUUGAAGCGGCUCUUAUUGCUGCAGUUUUGGGUUCAGCCACUGAAACAGGGAAGAAGACUGUGGAGACUGGAAACAGUUCUGGAAUUUUACAGAAUAAGAUUGAGAGUAGGCUUAAAGUCUUUCAAGACAUAACACUCUCAAUGAGCCCAAGAGCCUAACCUCUCAAUUAGUGUCAACUAAUUCAAUUUAGUUUUUACAAGCUAUAAUAAUAUAGGUUUUAGGUUGGAGAUGAUCUUGUUCUCCUGGGCUCCUGUUCAAGCAGAAGGGGGGGGGGGGGGGGAGAGAGGAGUACGCAGCUAUGCAGAGAGUAUGGUAGCAGUCCCUGCUGGGGUAGUAGCAGCAGUAGUUAUAGUAGAUGCAAUUCAUUAAUUCUUGUCCACCUCUCAAAAUAAAGGGGGGCACACAUCUGUAAUAAAACAUAUGAUGAUGUUCAUUAGCUACAUUUUGACUCAAGAAAAUGAGGAUCUUGCCUUGUUCUAUAUUGUAUGGCAUUCCUAUUGUGUAUGGCAUUUAAUUUUGAUCAUAUGAGGAGCUCCUAAUUGUUUAGGAACAUAGUUUUCUUCAAUGAAUCUUUGUGGGAUCUUCUUAUUAUACAUGGUUUCUUCUUAUACAUGAUCGAUCCUGUUUUACUCCUCUUUCCUUUGACUUCUUUGUCUAUAGUAGAAAGUAAUGGCUAUAGCAGUUGUCGCAAAAGCAACUCCUGCAGCAGUUUUUGCCAUGGUUGAACUGUUCUUCACAGCUGUGAUUACCCUGGAAGUCCAUGUAGGUGGAACAAACCCUAGCUCCGAAAGCUUCUUGUGGGAUGCCGCAUAAUCUCUGAAGAAAGCCUCCUCAUCCUGCCAUGUACCAGAAAUAUGAUAAGAAAAACAGUAAAGGGUUACAAGAGACUGCAUGAGACUAUGUGAACAUCCACGAAGGUUCCAGCAAAAUACUACAUUACCUGUUCAUACAACAUAACAUAUUCUAGGAAUUUAGGAUCCUUUAUUAAUGCUUGGUCUGUGGAAAAUAUAAACAAUCGCCUCCCUGUUGAAUCCUCGCCCGCAGCUGAAGAAGAAGGUUUCUGCUGUGAAUACCCUGUUGGAGGGUUACUAGGUGUAGGAAACUUGGUUGAUGAUUUCAAAAGCUCCCUGAUUACAAUAUUAAUCAUAACAUAUAGCCAUCAUAUAUAAUUGAAACAUUGCUGCAUUUAUAUGCGUUCCAAUCAAUGAAUUCUCAAAUGAAACCUUACUUGAAAUACGAAUUGUCGAACUUCCAGGGCUCCUCUGUCCACUUGCCAUCAAAGCCUGAAACUUGCUUAUGUGCCCCUCCCUACAACACCAAACCAAACAAAAACUACAUGCAUAUUUGUGGAUGCUGAAAGAACUUUUUAAAGAUAGCUGCAGAUCUGUGGAGGAAGUUACCAAUGUAUGACCUCCGGAGAGGGCCACAAUAUCCUUGUCCUCAAGACCCAUCCGGUUAAAGACCGACCUUAAAUGGUCAGCACCUGCAACAAAAUUUAAUAAGAGUAAUGUAAAUUUUCUGCUUGGUCUUAUAUGGGAAGUAUAAGAGAGCUCUGAUUUCUGAUGCAUAACAACCAAGAAACAAUUUGUAGAAGGAGCACAGCUGAAAAGCUAGAGAGGGGACCAAGGGGUGAAAUGACAGAAUUCGACAAACGAUAAGGUUCAAGUCUCUAUGCAUUAUCUGUGAGUUAUAGAGCAGAAUAGGAAAAUGACUUCUUUUCCAUAAACAAGGCCAGAGAGCAUAAAGAAAACAGAAUGGGAACCUUUGUUAGCAUCUGGGAGGAGCCCUUCUUUUGGUGAAGACAAAGAGUCCUGGUUGAAAAACAGGGGGGAAAAAAUUAGGAGUAAUAUUUGAGAAAGGUGAUCAAAAGCUUCCUCCAUGAACCAACCUGUCUACCAGGGACGAAGUGAAUAGUGGGGCCUCCAGUAACCUCAACUGCAACAACACCAGCAAGCUGACAAAACCCCAAAGGAGUCAGGAAAGCGACCACACCGGCAUCCACUUGCAAAGAUGAUGCAAACCAGAGCUUGUUUUUAUCCUUAGCUUCUCAAUGAAUUCAAAUUAAAUCACAGAACAGUUAAUUUCUGAAACAAGAGUCACCUGGUAAAGGUCAGCAUAUGUAAUGCAAGGAUGCUUCCUUUUCACCUUCUCUGACAUCAGAGCAGAACCAGAGCCCAUUAGAAGAAAAAAAUAGUAUUUCAAUUUCAAGUAGGAAAAACUGAGAGUUGUGGUGGGAUGAAGUCCCAAUCAUACUAUCUCGGCACUGAACCUCAUUAAAAGGAGUCUGAUUACAAUACAAGCAAAAAAAAAAAAAGGGGAGGGACAAAUCUUUUGCCAGUGUGCAAGGGCAAAAGGGAAAAUGAAUCUCACCGCAAAGAUCAACUGCCGUUUCCAAACCCCUAUUUGCAGAAUGAUUAAGCUCUUGUGGGUUUCUGAUGGAGCCAUUUGGGCCCCCUGUCUUUGUGAGAGCAUCAUAAGUGCCUGCAUCAUGAAACCUGCAAACAAAAUGCUAUUUAGCUUCCGAUCAUUAAACCCUCAUGCAUUAAAGCUAAAUUACUUUAAAAUCCAAUAGAGCCAGAAUGCAAAAAAUCAGCUCACGAUCCUCCCCCCCAUACAUGCCAAAUACUAAGUCUCCGUUAAUUUGAACCUUGCAAAAAACACACACACAUGUAUGAAUCGUUUUGUUCAUGGCCUGUUCAUGGCCGUAUUUCUGACACGCCAUAAGUCAUAACACCUAGAAAAGCCUUUUUCUUUUUUUUCCUAAUUUUUCUGAAAUUUUCAUCUUAUCUUCCCCGUCUAUUGAAAUGCAACCACUUAUGUUUUCUCCCCUCCCUUCGAAAUGUCAGUUCUAACAUUUACUAAAUGAAAUGAAAUGCAGGGAAAAUGAAAAAGAAGCAUAAAUUAAACUUAAGGGACACUACGCUAGACGGAGCAUCAUGGGUGCACAGUUUUUGCUGGAAAUGAGAGCACGGAGGUAUCUACGAGCCCUUUCGAUUUCUUUGUAGUAUUCUGCAUUUACAACUAGUGGUGCUGGAGUUGGUGCUGGUGCAGAGGCUGAGGUUGAGGCUUGGACUUCCAUGGGAGCUCACCCACCCUGCAAAGAAUUGAAGAGGAAAAAAAGAAGGAAUGAUGAUAGUGGAGGGAGGACCCUUGAUUAGUUUGUCUUUAUAGAGAGGGAAUCACAACGAAAGAGAUGGGUGGAAGAAAAGGGGUGGGGGAGAGAGGAAGCAAAGGAUUGAUUUUGCAUGGAAAGGGAUACGAUUCCAAUUAUAAACAUGCAAGGGACUACAACUGCUGAUUGCCUUCUUCUUCUUCGUCUUCUUCUUCUUCAAAAUCUUCUUAUCUCUUGAGGUAUGAAGAUUAAAAAACCUAAAUAGAUAAUAACUUUCAUGUAUAUAGUUUAAAAUAAUUUUUUUAUUUAAAAGAAAAACACAUUAUUUAAAAUUAUUAUUUUUAAAUUUUUAAAAAUAUCUUUGAGAGGCUUUUUUUUUUUUGCUAAAUAAUAAAAACUUGACCCUGUGAUUUAAAAACACUUCUAAAAACCGAAAAAUGUUUUUGAAAAAUUAUAACAUUGUUUGGUUGUUGUUUUCUUAAAAAAAAAAAUUAAAAACAAAAUAAAAUUAAAAAUCAUUUUUAAAGAAUAAAUAAAAAUUAUUUUCACUUAUUUUAAAUACAAAAGGAAAAUGUAAAUAAAUAAGAAAAAAUUAAAAUAAAAAACCAUAUAAACAGAUGAAUGUAUGUAUGAAAUAAAAAAAUCAUUCAUUUAUAUUUUUAAAAAUUAAAUUUUAUUUAUUUUUAAAUUUAUUCAAAAUAAAAUAGUAUUAACAGUUAUUAAUUUUAAAUUGUUGUUACUAUUAUUAUUAUUAUUUAUUUCCAACAAAAUAAAUCAAUGAUGCUUUUAUGAAAAUGUUAAUAUUCAUUAUUUAUAAUAUUUAUAAAAAAAAUAUGAUUGUAUUAUAAUAUUACUAUUCAUAUUUUAUUAAAUAUAUUUAUUUUUUAUUUUUUGUAAUUACAAAAUUGUUUUUAUUUUUAAUAAGACUUGAAUUAAAAUUAGUUUACAUGAUAUAAAUUGAAUUUAUAGUUUUUUUUUACAAAAUUAAAAAAAAAUUAAAACAACUUAUUUAAAUAAGAUUUUUGUUUUUGUUUAAAAAAAACUUUUUUUAAAACAACUUGAAUCUAACGAACCAAAACACUUCAUUCUCUUAAAGUUAAAUUAAAUUCUAUUUAUAGGUAAAGUUUUAUUUUUAUUGAAAUAAUUUUCUUUUUUACAUUCUCCAAAAAAAAUAAAAUAUUUAUUCUCACUCCUCAUUCCUAUAUAAAAAAAAUGGAUUUAACGUCAAAUUUUAGAAGAAAGCUUGAAAGCCAUAAAAUUGAGGGGCUUUUUGACUGGUUAUAUAAGGAAAAGCUUUAAGUAUGUCAUCCUCCAUGGCGUCUUCUUCAACCAAAAGACUCAUGAGUCAUGACUCCUUCCAAAACACGAUUGAAGGUAUCCAAGGAAAUGUUUGAAAGAGUCCUACGAAAAAGUCAUUAAUAAGUACUUUUGCAAAGCCCUUUCAACCAUGAUACAAAAUUUUUCAAGUCUCUAAUAUUUUAAAUUAAAAAUUUUCUUCAUAUAUUAACAACUAUUGACUCAAAAUAACAAUAAUUCUUUUCUCCUAUUGUAAAAGUUGUAUUACUGCUAUUGAAUCAUAGCUUAUAUUUUAUCCUAAAUUUCAAAAUGUCACUAUUAAAUCAUAGUGUAUCCUUUAUCAUAAACUAUUGAAUUUCCUAAUACAUCUUGUUUUUUUUAAAAAAAAAUAAAUUUUGAUAAUUAAAAAAAAGGAAUUCACAAAUUAAAUCCCCUACCAAAACAAUUCAUAAACUUAUGCUUCUCAUCCAUGUAGAUAUCAUGACUAUGAUUUUAAAUUUUUUUUAGAUGAUUAAAAUUAUAAUUAGUAACUACGAUAACUUUAUCGUAACUAGCCAUGAUGAUAACUUUAUGUAGCUAGCCACUGUGAUAACCUUAUCGUAGUCACAAACCACUGUUUUAUGUUUAUAAAAAAAAAACUCUUAGGUCUUUAUACAUACUUGAAAUGCACUAAUUCAAAAAAUAAUUUUGUUGAAAAAUUAAGGUUCAUUUGGUUAUGUUUUCUAAAACUUGUUUUUAAAAAUUACUUUUUAUUCUUUAACUUUAUAGUUUUUAAAAACAAGUUUCAUAAAACAUAACCAAAUGGACCCAUGUUUUCAUUUUGUUUUUAAAAAUUGAUGAAAACAACUUCUAUUUGUUCUCUAAAAAUUGUUCUCUAUUUCACUUUAUUUUCAAAAAUUAUUUUCAAAAACCAACAACAAAACAGUAUUAAAAAAUUUUAAAAAUAGUUUUAUAUCUUUAAAACAAAAAAAUUGUUUUUAAAUCAUAUAAUCAAACAGACUUUUAACUUCAUAAAUUUUGUUUUUCAAAUGAAUUAUUUUUGCUCAAAACUCAUUUUCUCAAAUUUGAAAAAAAAAUAAAAUUAUAUGAAGGAUAUUAAAAUUCUCAAGUCAUAUGUACUACUUUAGGGUGAUUUUACACAUAGAAUAUAAGUUUAGUUUGUGAACAAAAUGAAAACCCAUUUAAUAUUUCUUUUUCAUGGCAUGCACAUGUUGAAUGUGGAAUCACAAGCCUGUAAAUUUUUUAACUUUACCUAAAAAUCCAAUGGUGUGUGAUGAAUAUUUUAGUAAUAAGGUAUGAUGCGGACCAUGUGGUAAUGGUGGCCCCUUGCUCAAUUGUUUUAGAUUUUGUUAGCUAAGUUCCAAGUUACCAUUGUGGAACAUAUUUGGAACUACCACAUGGUGCCCCCAUUGAUUUCACCUUCAAAAGGCUGCAACUUUUGAUUUUCUUAUUGUUGCUUUAGCUUAAUGCUUUAUAAUCAAUUACGAGAUUAUAUAUCAUCUAUUAUUAGAUUACUUCAAUUUAAGUUAAUCUAUCAAAAUCCGAUACCUUAUGUCGGAUUAGGAAAAAAAACUUAUAACACAUAACUUUUUUUAACAUUUUAGAUGUCUAUGUGACUCAAAAUAGACGAUAUCUAUUAUCAAAAUAUAAUAUUUUUUUAGUACAUAAUAUACUAGCACGAAUAAUUAAAUUUAAACUAUUAAAUACAAAGAGAAAUCACAAUUUAAAUACGAAACGACACCAAAAUAUAAAAAUUAAAAAAUUAAAACCCGAGUAAAAUAAAAUGAGAUCAAGACUAAAAAACCAAUCUUUUAUCUUCUUUUGUCAAAUACAGAUACAUACUAAAAAUGUAACAUAAAAAUUUAACAAAUUUAGGUAUCAUAAUAGCACCCAUGUGGACCUGAGAAUUUUAAGAUUCUCUAUAAAUUAAGAAAAGAAGAAGAACAAAUUGUUACCUUUUGGGAUAUUUUUAGGUGGGAAGUUGUAAAUUGCAAAGUUUGAGAAGGGUAUAGUUGUCCAAAAGGGAGGAUAUUUUUGGCAGUUUCCCCUGGAAUGCUCUUCUCUGACAGAUUGAUUCCAGUGCCACAGUUCCCUGAAAAAAGCAAGCAAAUUUAUUAAUAUCCCAAAACACCCCAAAUUUCAAUUGGCAGAUUAAAAUUGUAGACAAUGAAACGGUGUCGUUUCAGCGGGGUCCAUGCAAAACGCUUUUACAAAAAAUCCUUGUCUGCGUAAAAUCUGGUUUUUUGAUACAACACAUUUAUAUCUUCCAUUUUUGAAAUAUUACCUUCCUAAGGCUGUAUUGGCCGUUGAAAUGCAUAGUUACCUAAACACCCCUCCCUUCCUUCCUUAUUAGUUCCCCUGUUCUCCGCACGUCCCAAGGGCAUGCCGUGAAUAAAGGCACAUUCUAGGGGCAUUUUGGUCAUAAUACUUUAUUUGAUAAAAUUACUCCACUGGGCACCCUGCCCAACGUUCAUUUGUCUGCUUACAUCUCAAAACUGCCGCUCCGUUGCUUUCCUCCUCACAACCACAGAGUGGGGGGAGAGAAGAGAGGAGAUGAAACGGUGUCGUUUGUUUGGGAGGAAGCGAGGUUAAAGAUUCUGAGACCCAAAAGAAGUGAAGGAGAAAAACGGUGGCUUUUUGAGACCCGCCAUCGAUGAAAGCUUCAGAAGCUUUACCAAAGUGAGAGAACGCAGAAAACGUUUUGGUUGUUGUUUUGUUUUUUGAAAAUCAGAAAUGGGUUGUUGUUACUCGAGAAUAGAGAGAGAAGAGAUGGUUUCAAGGUGUAAGGCGAGGAAGAGAUACAUGAAGCAGUUUGUGAAGGCGAGGCAAGCCCUGUCUGCAGCCCACAGUAUGUAUAUCAGAUCCCUGCGUGGCACUGGCUCUGCUCUCCUUCAGUUUGCCACCGCCGAGACCAAUCUCCACUACCACCACCACCACCACCACCACCAUCUCACACCGAUUCCACCCUCUCCGCCGCCACAGCAGCCCUCUCCUCCGCCUCCACCGCCGCCCAUGAGUCCCAGCUCCGAUACGUGGACAUCCAUCACAGCCUCGCCCUCUCAUCUACCGCCUCCGCCUCCUCCUCCUCCUCCGCCGCCCCCGCCCCCGGCGCAGUCCAGCUGGGACUUCUGGGAUCCGUUCGUGCCGUCUUCGUCAAGGUCCGUGACGGAGGAGGAGUGGGAAGCUACGACGAUGGCGUCGGAAGCCCCUGCCACGACCGCCGUCUCCGCCAGCGUCACGGCUCCGCCUUCGGUGGUCAGUGGGUUCUCUAAGGACACAUCGAGCGAGCUUGCUAUGGUGGUGUCAAGAAACAGUAAAGAUCUCGCUGAGAUCGUCAAAGAGGUCGACGACUACUUUCUUAAAGCCGCCGACGCCGGUAGCGAAGUCUCAUUACUCUUAGAAAUUCCAAGGUCCACUUUCUCCAAUCAGACUGGAGGUAUUAUUUUUCACAAGUUUAUUCUAUGAUCAUGGGUUUGCUUUAGAUUUUCCUUUACUCUUGUUUGGCUGAUGAGGAAGAACAAAAGAAAAUGAGGAAUGUUAAUUUUGUCUUAUGUUGUCUUGGCGUUAGGCACAAUUGAGUGGACCCUUUUGUUUGGUAGCCCAGAAAUAAAUGAAAAUUUGAAACACAAGUAAUGGGUUUUGAUUCUGUUGUUUACAGGUAAGGUUUAUAGCUGUGGAAAGAGUUCGAAUCCAUUAUGGUGUCCAUGGGCUUCGAAUUCGAAAUUGAAUGGGUUUGGGAGACUGUGUGAAGAGAUGGUUGUUACUGAUAUAGCUGGUGGGGGUAUUAUCAGUGGUAGUAGCAGUCACUGUUCUACUGUGGAGAGGCUAUAUGCUUGGGAGAAGAAACUGUUCCAAGAGGUUAAGGUAAUAUAAUCCUAAAUUUUCAAUUCCACCACCCCAUAAAGAAAUUCUCUCUCUGAUGUCUUGUUUCUUUGCUUGCGUUUUGAAGAAUGCUGAGAGUAUAAAGAUAGAGCAUGAGAAAUGUGUAGCCCAGCUGAGGAAGUUGGAGGUAAAGAGGGCUGCUGACUAUGUGAAGACUGAGAAAACCAAGAAAGAGGUUGAAAAGUUGGAGUCUAGGAUGAUGGUUGCAUCCCAGGCCAUUGAAACUACCUCUACUGAAAUCAUCAAAUUAAGGGAGUCAGAGCUUUACCCACAACUCCUUGACAUCGUAAAAGGGUUAGUCUUCUUCUCACUCCCACCACCACCACCUUCACAUGAAUGUAUUAUUCAUUUCUUAUUUUUUUCAUGUGGGUUAGUGAAAUUCCACUGCAGAAACAAGACCAUAUAAAGAAUGUGCACCACAUAGAAAGGGAAUACAUUGCCUUCUUAUGCAUUAAAGCGCUCAAGCCAAGUCAGAAUUAUCAAGUGUCUAAGGUUAACAGCUUGAGCUUUCUGAACAUUUGGCCUAAACCAUAUAAGAAAUUGCUAUACAAAGGCCUCAAUGGAGACCCUCUAUAUUGGCCUAAACCGUGAAAAGAGCCACCCCCACUCCUGCACAGAGCAGCAGGUGAUGGAGAUUUGAAAGAUGAGACUUUUUUUUUUUUUUUUUUUUCUGAACCAUUGGUUAUCAGAACUAGGGUUACCCAAAUCAAUGUCUAAAAUAUAAGGUAUUAUUUAGGUUGGGUCUAUUUUCCCAGUAUCCUGUUUGGUUCUCUAGGGGGUUUGAAUUUAUGCACAGUGAAGCAGAUAUACAACUUACCCACUCUGAGACUUGGUUGCUUCCUAAAGUCAAAUUCAACUUUAUUGUAUUGGGAUCAGAUGGUAUGCCAUGGGCAAUGGUAGUACAAGCAGUCAAAUUUGCUUUUGACUGCUUUUACUGUUUGAUUUCAUGGCUUUUGUUUGCUUUUGUUGCAAAGACUUACUGAGCCCCGACCGUGCAACAGUUGAGUAAUCCAUUUGGGGGGGUGGGUUGGGGCUAUCCCCAACCUUCAAUUGGGCUUCCCUUUAGUGUGAGGAACCAUCUUUUGUGAACCCUCUUUGCUUUAAUGUCUUCCAAAAGGAGGCAAUCAUGUGGUUCUCGUUCUGACUGUACCAUCUAUGAUGGGGUCCAUCAGAUUGGAUAAGGUACAUGGCCAACUGGGUAAGGUGGGGACUAUAGAUGUACUGGGUUGGUAUUCAACUGGACUAUGGUCUACAGUAAUGCUUUACUAGGGAAUUUAAAGUCUAUUUACUUCUCUCUUGACAGUAGAGAAGCUAGGGCAGGGUUUUGUGGCUGGUUGUUUUAACUUUUAAGCCAUUUGUCAUGUUUUGAUUUUCUAGACAAGCUUGAUGAACUGUGCUCGAUCCUCAUUGCUACAUUUAUUUUCUUAGGAUCAUUAUAUUUAUGGAAGUUAUUUUCCACUCUUACUGAUUUUACUUUCAUUGCAGAUCGAUGAGCAUGUGGAGAAGCAUGUACGAGUGCCACCAGGUCCAAAUGCACAUAGUUCAGCAGCUCAAAUAUCUCAAUGCUAUCCCAUCAACUGAGCCCACAUCCGAGAUUCACAGGCAAUCAACUCUCCAGCUCGAGCUUGAAGUCCAGCAGUGGCACUCAACCUUUUGCAGCCUAGUAAAAACCCAACGAGACUACAUCCAAGCACUUACGGGCUGGCUCCGUCUUAGCCUUUUUCAGUUCAGCAAAAACCCACUAUCCAAAACCAGACAGGAGUCCAUGAUUUACUCCCUUUGUGAAGAAUGGCACCUUGCACUUGACCGGGUUCCAGACAAAGUGGCAUCUGAAGGGAUAAAGAGCUUGUUAACAGUAAUUCAUGCCAUUGUAGUUCAACAAGCUGACGAGCAAAAACAAAAGAAGAGGUCAGAAUCUGCAUUUAAAGAUCUUGAGAAGAAACUGGUUGAGCUUAGAGCACUGGAAUGCAAACAAUCCCCAUUUUCAACGCCUGAAUCAUCUGCCAUCACAAGAAGCAAGGACCCAAUAGCAGAGAAGAGAGCAAAGGUGGCAACUUUGAGAGCAAAAGCAGAGGAGGAAAAGAGUAAGCAUGAAAAGGCAGUGAGUGUAACAAGGUCUGUGACAUUGAACAAUUUGCAGAUGGGGUUCCCACAUGUCUUUCAGGCAGUGACAGGUUUUGCAAGUGUAUGUACUCAUGCAUUUGAAUCGGUUCACAACCAGGCCAAGUGUAUGGACCAAGAGCUCGAUGUGAAGAGGAUACUGCCUUAAUUGAGGAUCCUGCCUGCUGUCUCAUCAGGGCAAGCAUAUACUGGAAAACCAAAUGAUCCAGAACUUGACGUCUGUCUAUAGGUUUGCAUUUCCAUUUCAGUUGCCGGCUUGAACCCCAGAAAUUUUCCGAAUGCAGGUUGACAGUGACUUACCUCCUGCACAGAUCUAUGAGAUACAAUCUCAAACACAGUGCAGAAUCAAUAGCAAUUAUAGGUAUACAGCCUUUUGUACGUAGUCUCUCCUGAUGGAGGUAGAAUUGGGGGUUUAUACCUUUGUUUGAAUGGUUUGAAUUUUCUCUUUGUUAGAGAAGAAGCCAAAAAAAAAAAAAGAGGUUCUUUUUGUGAAUCUUUGUGAAGGAUUUUAAAGAGUUGUUUAUUUAUUAUGCUGUUCAGAGAGGGAGUUUCUGUGUGGGUUUGUCACUGAGGGUUACAUUUUUGAGAGGUGCCCAAUUAGUGGGAAAUGAAUGAGAGGUGGCAAUUUUUGAAUAGAAAGUUGAUUGAAAAAUUCAAAUUUUGAGCCAUUUAAUAAAAACCUUUGAAAAUUUUGAUCAAGAUCAUGACACAGAAUAAAAAUUUUCAAAAAAUAAAUAUCUUGCAAGGGUUAAGAGAUUCAGAUGCCAUAAUAAGCUAAGGUAUGUACAUGAUACACCAAAAUCUUACAAUUGAUGGAAAAAUCCCUAGGGGCUUGUAUCCGGCUUGGUGUUAAACCAAGAAAUUGAUCCUUCAGCAAUGAUUGAAGUAUAACAAUAGAAGUUAACCAAAAAAAAGUCUGCUAUCUGGUGCUUAUUAGGUUAUAGAACAGAUGGCACCAAACACACAGUUUAGUAUAAGCCUAUGGAACUAACUAGGUGAGACAGUACACUUACCACACAGCCAUGUAUACCGUUUGUCACUCUUGAGAGACAAGAAUAUUUCCCUGGCAUUGGGGUUGUCAAAUAAAUCCAGAGCAGCAAAAUAGACUCGCUCAUCAACACCUUGUAUCUCAUCCAAUGCUUGAACACAGUUGGUUAUAGAGAAUUUGGCAUUCCGUUGCUUUAUAGCAGCUGUCCUCAGUUUUGAAGCAGCUGCCAUUUCCAGUAUAGCCCCUGCAAUAACAUUGUCAAUUCCUCUGCGGCCUCUUUUGCGAGAACUAAUUCCAGUAGGUAGAGUAGACUGAAAAUUGUCUUGCCCGUCUGCCAUCUCAGCCACAUCAUCUGACUCUGAUGAGGACUCCUCCCGGUGCAUGCUCAAAGGUUCUGGACAAGGAUAUUCAUAGGGAAUUCCUUCCUCAUGUUCAGCUGAUUGCUCAUUUGUCCCAUUGGCUCCUGAUUCUGAGAAUAUUGUGCAUAGCUGUUUGUAAAUUGGGCAGCCAGCGCUUCUCAUACUCUCAGCAUCAGGAUGUUCCUGGUUAGUAAGUUCCAUCCAAACAUUGUGAUGGACAAUAAAUAAAUAGUAUAAUCUGCUCCCUCCUGAUCUUGGAGGAACUCCAACUAUAUUGUGUUUAAGGAUAUCAUUGAUGAAUCUGGCUUCAUGGAUUUUCUGUGGAAUUUUCAAGAAUACACUUUUCCCUUUUGGUAUUAUAAGUAUAACCCUGAAAAUUUUGCUACAGACAGAUAUACCCCAUGUAGCCAAGAAGCCUCCUGCUAUCUCUUGAGAUGAAAGAAGGUUCCUCCAUCUCAGGCAGGCAUAAUUUUUUGCUCACAAUAAGGCAACAAGUGAGAGGAGCAUACCUUAAUGUAGUUGUCCCAUGCUUCAUCCUUGGCCGUGAUAAUGCCUGUGUUUUCAUCCCAAUUAAAGUCACUUUGAUCAAGAAGUGACUUGACAAUGACAUAUUGCCUCCUCAACACAGCAUACCGGUUCUUCAGUUGCUCCUUGUCCCAUUUCAAUCCUGUUUUCUUGAAAAAGUCAUCACACAUAUAUUUCCAUGCUUUCUUUCCAAAAGAAUUGUUCUGCCUAUUCCCCUUUCGGACCUGGUCAACCAUCAAGUCUGCAAGUAUCUUAGUGAGGGAUGCUGUCCACUUAGCCCUCGGCUGUUGCUCAUGCUGUUGGUAUGGUCUCCUCAAUCGAGUGGGCCGGCUAGCCAUCUGCAAUACCACAGAACAAAUAUAAGAAAGAAGCAGAACACAUAGCCAAACGCAUAGCCAACAUCACAAGAAACAACAAUUAGGAAGGCUGCUCAAAGAAUCCAUAUUAUAUGAAAUAUAUUUUUUUUUAUAGACCCUAUUAUAUGUAAUAUAUAGCAACUGAGAGAAGUCAAUAUCAACAGGUACUAGAAGUCUAGAAUGACGAGUAUUGGCCCAUGUCCCUAAAAAUUAAAGGAAAAAGGAGAAGUUGAAAAUAAGCAUAUGUGAGUGCUGCAAAAUAUCUUCUUCAACCUCCAAAGCCUCCACCACCCAAAGCAGACCUCUGUCAAAUUCUUCAAGAAGUGUCCCAUAUUUUUGAGAAUCACUCCAAUAGUGUUCAGUAUAUUAUCAUGCAUGAGCAGGUUACAAUUCUAAAGAUGCAAUACUCGUUAGCAAGCAUGGGGCAUAUGGAGAUUUUCAUUUUACUUUUUUUCACAUAUAGAAGUAUGAAAUUUAUGCCCAUGUCACAAGCCAAAGCCUUGAAAAGAUCACUAACAGAAUACCAAAUUUAGAAGCCCAUUUUCUAUUGGUAAUGUGUCAACACCUUGACCUAGAAGAUGUGGCACCAAGGCCUCAUGAGUUUGCACCUUGCACCCCAUGAAUUCCUAUUGAACAAGGCAAGGUGAUGACCGAGGCUUACGAGUGAUCGUAUGGAGGCUUGGUGAUUUCUUGAGGUGCAACACACAUUGCUAGUAUAGGCAACACGUGGUGUGGUUCAACACAACCAGAAUUCAAGUGUGGGAUUUUGGGUGGCUGGUUUUUUUUUCUUGAAAGAGGAGGAGGUUUCUGAGUGGAAUUUUGAUUUUUUUGGAACUUUUUUUUUUUUUUUUGGAAGGGGCUGCAUGACUAAAGGUCAUGAUGGUGACACAAACUAUGCCACAUCAAAGGCACGACAUGAGGAGUUUGGACAUGAGCAAGGUACGAUGGUGAGCCUUGCUAGCAUGCUAAGCACAAUGCCAUGGGGUGUAGUGCAACCCUUGAGCACAAUGACACCAUGCAUGGCUAUGGCACACAGAUGAGCAUGCUUGACUUGGUUGGAAGGACCAGAUGGAUUGGCACACACAUCAGCCAACAUAGCAACACAAGACAAUGAGCUAAGAGGGGGUUUAGCAUCACGCAAAUUGCAAACAUGUGGACAAAGAGAGGGCUUAGCACAUGAGCUGCCUAGAGACACAAGCAACGAGUGAUUUAUGCAUGGGCUACCCAAACAACGCAAGUAGACUGAUGCUCACAACAUCAGUGGACUGACAGUAAACAUGGCACAUGAAGGGGACCUUGGUAUUGGGGCAGGACCAAGGAAGGGGUUUCCAGCACUACAGGCUUGAUGCUAGUGAGCAGAGAAUGAGGCUAAACACUUGGCAUGAGCCAAGCACAUUUCUCCCAUAAGAAGGUAGGUGGCAAGCACAAGUACAAGGUAGCAACUAAAUCCCUAAAAUGGUGGUAUGGGCUAUUGAGCUUAGGAACAUGUGGCAGCCAUGAAAAAGAAGGCAUUGCAUGCAGCUUGUAGCUGGCAAGACCAAAAGCAAUCAUGGACAUGUGAAAAUGGUUGAAGCUUGCAGACAAGCUGAAUUUGAGUUUGAAUUUUUGAAUUUUAAAGGAUUUGAACUUGAAUUCAAAUAAUUUGUUCAUAGAAAUGUGGGCAGUUGUUGUCUGGUGAUGCCUAUAGAUAGGUGUGCCCUCUAGCCAUUCAAAGCAUGAACUCACUAAGAAAGAGUGUGGGAGUGUUGCUUAAGAGAAGGCUGAGUAUUCUUGUAAAUUCGUUAUAGAUGUAAUACAAGUUGGGGCAGAGUUACCCUAUAGUCUCAUGUUGCCUUAUCCCUUUCUUGUGGCAAUCUUGUGUGGGUAAACAUAGGCUAGCUUAAAGGGCUUCUAAGCACUAUACAAUGCGAAAUAAAAAAAAUUGUGGGGGAACAUUUGCAUUUGUGACAUAAUGGAUGUAAAGUCAAGUUUUGGCAUGACUCUUGGUGCGGUGAAGGAUCUCUAAAGGACCAGCUCCCAGGAUUAAUCAAGGUUGUUAGAUUUUGUCAAUAAUAUAGGGAUUGGUUAACCAGUCAAUGUUUGUGGUUUUGUUUCUUUCUUGUUUGUUUGUGUUUCCGUAUACUUCGUGUGUACAUAGGUUGCACCCCCUUCUUUUGUUAAACACUUAUAUUAGUAUAUUUAUUCUAUUUUUCCUAUAAAAAAAAAUAUAUACUAGGAUAUUAGGCACAGAGGGUUGAUAUUUUACUAGGUAAAUUAAUGUCUCAAAUGGCAAAAAAAACCAUCCUGCCUUGGAAGAUAAAUUACUAUGAGCCAUACUUGGCAUUUAGGUAUCCACUUCAAAGGAAACUUGCCUAAAACAACCUAUAGGUGCUAAAGGUCUAACCAUUUGUGUAGUGGGUCUAGAAAAACGGAGAAAUGAUUCUUAAAUAAAUUUCAUAGAAACAUGAAAUUAAAGCAGGUGAUAGAAGUAGCUAGGAACCAUGGACAUGGAAAUUUAUAAGUUCUCCAUCUUGCUUAGCCUUGAAAAACAUAAUGUCGAUUUCAUUUAUAGUUAAUUAUUUAAUAAUUAAUAAUAAUGAGAAAUGCAUAGCUGCUAAAGGCUGAACUAUUGAUGUACAAUAGUUCUAGAAAAAGGGAGAAAUGAUUCAUAUCUAUAAUUUGUCGAAACAUGAAAUGAAAGUAGGUGAUAAAGUAGUUGGGAGACAUUGGAAAGAAGAGAUCUGAAAUUUAUUAGGUUCUCUAUUUUGCUUAGUCAUGAAAGACAUUAUGUCAAUUUCAUUAAUAGAUAAUUAGUAAAUAAUUAAUAAUUAUAAGAAAUGCAUAAUUUAUUAUGUAAUUUAACCAUCAUAAUUUAUUAAUUUAGUAAUUAAUAAUCAUGAGAAAUGUCAUGGCAUACCCUCUUUUAAAAGAAUCAAUAUCGUUUCACACUAAAAGACUAUCUGCAUUCACUCACAACACCCACAUCUCUAAGGGAAUAGUAUUUAUAAGAAACAUUAGCUCCCAUAAGCACUCCAUAUCACUUGUAAAAGGUUAUAGAGCCAAUAACACUACAUGUCUCCAAUGUUAGAAGAUUCCAAAGGACUGAUCCUUGCAUGUACAACAUAUAAACUACAUGCAAAUCAAUUAGGAUAGGAAACAAAACCACCUCUGCAUGUUCACAUCAACUCCCCCACAAAGAAAUAAUUUAUUGAUGCUCCACGUAAUAACAUAAUAAAUAAAUAAAUAAGGAAAAAGAGGCUAGCCAAUUUCAACUCAAUGCAGAUAAACAGAAGAAAAAAAGGGAAGAGACAGUAUAGUCACAUUCCUCCUAUAUCCCCUAACAUAACAACCAACAUCAUGCAAGUUCCCAGGCAACAAGGAGAUUUAUUCCCUUGUUUUAAUUGGGUAGGACAUUGGUGAUCCAGUAGCUAGUUAAAAAUAGGAUGCUGUAUGGACAGACCCCAAAUUGCAGUUUAGGUUGCUCAUAUACACAAAACCUGCCAAAUAGUUUAGAGACUCAUGUAGAAACCAAAUCUUAAAUUUCAAAUGCCAAAUUCAAGUCCAAGUUUUAAAAAUUGAUUCUAAGUUCUGACAGUGCUUUCAACUCAACCUGUUCUCUGACAGCAAAAAAAGGGCCAGACAUUAGGUAAAGGGAUCUGUUGAAUUGGCCCCUGAAUAAAGGAAUUUUCUAAUAAAUUUGAAUUUAAUCAAAUGUUAUCUAGUAAAAUUAUCCUCCAAUACAAGUAAAGAAGGGUGCACAUAUGCAUAAAGAUUAGCCAAAAUUCAGGUACAUGUUACUGGAGUUUUUAACAUUCUAGUCCAUAUAUUUAUAUAAUCUCCCAUGGAAAAUGUAUUAGAAAUAGAAUUGUCAUAUUUAAGAGCCUAAACUUUUACGAACCCAAAUUCAGCUCUGUAUGAAAGAGAAGAAUUAAAAAAAGAAAAAAGAAAACAACAACAACAAACAAACAAAACAAAACAAACAAAAAACAUCAUAUCAUAUCAGGAAGUAAGAAAAAGACUAUCUCAAGAACCGCACUUGAUGAAAUAAAAUAGUAUAUUAAAGGUUGUAACACCCACAGUGUGUUUGCUUGUAUACCUGGUUUCAACACACGCUCAAAAUUGUAGGCAAGUUUGAAAGAGGUGGAAUUCCAUUAACACGGGCAAUGUAAGGCAAUUAUUUCGAACAAAGUUGAAUAGAAAUCAUCUUUUGAGAGACCCGCAAAAGGAGGAAAAAGAAACUUGACAUUAGCUUUCUAUACAGUAAAGAUGGGCAUUUCUCUUAAAAGAGAGCAGCAACAGGAGGAGAGAGGAUCCUGCGCUGGGGUGUCUAUGUGCUAUAGGUAUAGAUGUCUGAUAUGCACGGAGGCAGGCGGUAGCCGUUUGAGAGUUAAAAGUCCUUAUGAGAAUACAGUAAGGGCUAAGUUUGAUUGAAUAGAAAUCAAUUAUUUAGUUAAUCCUAGCACCAAAUUAGCCUAUCCUUGAAUUCUACAGCGAACUUUGGGUGGGGGAAGGGGAAGAAAAGGGAUUGACACAAAAUUCGAAUUUCAUUGAGAGGGAAUUUGGGUAUUUGAACUCCGCCCAGACGGGAUAGAGUUUAGAAGGCAUUGAGCCAAAGGUUGAAAUAGAAACAGGAGAGCAUCCCCAAUCGGUUCUCAAUUCACACAUUCAGCUUCCUCCUCUGUUUCUCUAAACCUUGCAAUCUCUGUUCAUCAUCCAACAAUCAAUAUAAAACCCUCAAAAAACUCUUGGGAUUCUGUCAUACAAGGUUCCUUAAUUCUAUGAGAAGAAGAAGGGAAAAUGAGUUUUGGAUUAGGGUUAGAGUUAGGGUUAGGUUUAGGGUUACCUGGAGGAAGAUGCCGUAACCGUUUGUUUCGUCUCUGUUCCUCCCGCGCUCUCGCUCCCUGUCUCUUCCUCACUUGAAGCCAGCGGUGAAAACCAAACCCAUUUUUUUCAAACUGAAAAACAAAUAAAAUAUAAUAAGUUUACUGGUUGAAGUUUACCUUAAUUAUUAAAAUUUCAAAAUUUUCUCAAAUCUAUAUAUAAAAAAUAUUAAAUUUGAAUCAUUAAAAGGAAAAAAGAGAUCGAUAGAUACAUCGUGUGGGCCCCGUUCCAUGAAAGUAAAAUAUAAUAAUAAUAAUAAUAAUAAUAAAUUUGAAAUUUGAUUUAUUAAAAAAUUAAAUAAAUUUUAAAAUAUAAAAAAGCCAUAUAUUUUUAUAUAUUUAAAUUUUAUAUAAAUAAAAUAAAUAUAUAAAAAUAAUUUAUCUCUUUUUUUUUCUUUCUAAUUUUCUUUUUAUUCUUUUCUUAUAUACUUGCUAUUAAAUUUCCUAAGAAAAAAAAAUAUAUAUAUAUAGAAUUCAAAUUUCUUUUUUUAUGAUAAAUAUGACAAAUUGAAUAAAAUAUAUUAAGCAAUUUGGAAAUUUUAAUAUUUAAAUAAAAUAAAUAAACUCCAAAUUAUUCCGAUAUUUAUUUCCUUUAAUAUCUGGGAGCUAGUCUCCACCAAAUUACCAACUCUUUCUUUUGACUUUUUGGUUAAAAGCCCUGGAAAUGCUGAGGUCUCAUCAAUGAAAACUAGAUGUCAAAAUUUUAGAAGAAAAAUAAGAAAGAAAGAAAUAAGAGAGGAGAAAAUUUUGUAUCCUUGGUAGGUGGGAGGGAUGAGAUUAUCCCUUUCAAAUAUAAAUCUUCAGUAGUGUCAAAAUUGGUAACCAUACAAAAUGUCAAAGGGAGAGAGAUAUAAAAUAGAGAGUAUGAAAAAUGAAACCCGAUCAUCUUAUUGAAGGAAUCAUCAGAGUCUAUUUCAACUUUCUUUACAGUGACAGCAUCAGUGGAUUUGGAUGUCAUAUCCUCUCCAUUGGUAGAGCAGGUUAAUAUCUGUCAGCACCAUGGAAAACAAAAGAAGAAAAUAAUGCUCAACACAAGGAAAAAUUACACUGAAACAGAUACCAAAAUCUUAUCUAAGAGGGUCCGAGCCAUAACUGUACCAGCUUAUCCUGUCAAUUUUUUAUCCUGCAACAAGUGCUUGAUGGGUUGUCCCAGAGAUGCAGUCUGCAUCUGAAUUUUUCCUGAAAUGCUGUUGUGCCACUAAUUUUCCAUGUGCUGGGCCAUAUGAGCUUACCGUUUACCAUCCAUGUGGACUCCAGAAUAACAAAUGCAAAUUCAGUGAAGGCCAUUCGGAAAUAUGCAAGUAGAAUAUCAAAGUGGCCAAUAUCAGGAAAAUGCAACAAAAGGCCUCUAUUUCACUAGGCAGUUACUGUGCACUUUCAGUUCUCCAAACCAUUGGAACCUUUAGAUGGCAAGGAUAGUAUGUUUUGCCAAGGUUUUCCUUUGUGGGUUAACACACCAUGUUUGUAUUACAUAAUGGUCUUCAACUUGCCGACUGGCAUGGAUUCCCUGCAUUUCCAGGGUAACUUGUAUAAUGGAGAAUGCCUCAAAUCAGAUAUGCUUUUGAACUGAAAAUACUAACUGAUCUGGGCAAAGUCAAAUUGAGCUACUUUACAGGUUGAGAGAUAUACAGAGGCCCAACUUGCUACUGAAGUCACUCAUGGUGCUUACCAAUCUUCUAUUUCAUCAUCAGAAAUCUCAUUUUCCUUUUCAUCCAAAAUCAUACUAUCAUUGUCAUCAAGUUCUGUCUCAUUGCCCUGUAUUAAUGCCUGAUAAUCUUCAAAACCCCCAGAUGCUCCAUAUCUAAGCCAUUUAAAUAUAGGUAUAUACUCAGUAGCAAUAACUGAUACAUUAGAUGUGCUCAAAGCAACCAAUCUCUGGCCUAGUAUCUCACACUGUAAUCACAAUCAGAAGGCAAAUUGAAAACAUUAUAAGCGAAGUUAUAAUAAUUGCCACCAGAAUUUAAUUUGCAACUUGCUUCAUGAGCAUGAAACCAGUUAAUGAUUUUCUUGGGUAUUGCCCCUGAAGGAGGAAGAAAUUUAUUUGUAACCCACCUUAUUAUGUAGUGAGGAUUGCUCAACCUGCCAGAGCUUUGGGCGGCGAAUAGCAUGCCACCUGCAAGCCCAAAAAAAAUUGGUGAUGAAGUUCUACUUGUUAUUGUUUAUACAAAAGUAAUUAAUUCAAGCAUAUAAGGACCUGGAAGCCAAUGGGUGUGAAUUUCCAAAUAGCACUCCACGGGCAGCAACUGAAGCAGCAGCUGAUUGUAGAACAUUCCCUGCCUCAUAACUUGUGGCUAACAUUCCACGAUGAGCAGCAAGAAGGAAGUCAGAAUCACUUAAAUAUGAAGCCACAGCUGAUGCAUCAUCAAUUGCUUCCUCACUCAGAAAAUCUAAAACUGCAAGCAAAUUGCACGCAAUAGCAUUGGAAAACUGUGGCAUCUGAAUAGGAAAAAAUCCAACAGCAACACAAGUUGCCAACAUUUUGCUGCCUCUCAUUCAUGUACCAAUGAAUUUUUUCCUCUUAAACUUUUACAACAUUACAGUAGAUGAACUCAGUAGUGAAUAAGGCAGCUGCAACGUAGCUCAUCCACAAUUCACAAAUUUAUAUCACUUUUCAAGUUAUGGCUGAUGGGAUUAUCAUCUGGGUGAGCUAUGGUUUCCUAGAAAUUUUGAAUAGUCAAAUUUUUCUAACUGAAUUUCAACAAAUGAUUAUAAUCCUUUAUUUAUUUUUAUUUUUUUUAUAGGUCAUAAUCCUAAUUUUUUUUAUUCAAAUCAUUGUUUCAGAAAGUUCAACCAAAUUUUCUACAGUUCACAAAUUUCUCAUUUUUUCCUUAUGUGAAAUUAAGAUUAGAGCCUUCAUGUGAUCUGCCAACAAACCAACAAACAAUUUUUCUGGUUUUAGAGUUUACACAUGUUGGAGUGUAUAAUAUACAUUGUGGACCCAAAUUCUAAAAGUUUUAGCUUGUAGGAAAAUUGGCUGUCCAACAUAAGUUUUUAGAAAAAUCUGGUUGUCCAAUAUAGUAUAAAAGCCUCAUUGGGUGAGAGGUCAUGUGUUCGAACCUUACCGCAUGUUUAUUUCCCCCACUUGAUUAAGCCCAAAGGAGGAUGUUUGUGGUCUGUUUAUCUGUGGGUUUGUGUAUGCCUAUGUCUUUCUCCACAUGUGGAUAUGGGAUCACAAGGGAGAAUGUUAGAGUGCAUGAUAUACAUAGAAAGCUUAAGAUUGUAGGAAAUUUGUUUGUCCAACAAUGCACACACAUGCAUGACAAAAACUUCAAUACACAUCCUCAAAUGUUGCUCACCACAUUAACAGUUAAAGAAAAUCAAAACAGUGAAUUAUAAAGGAAUAAUAAGUGAAGAAUCACAGUCACUUCAGUUAUUUGUAAGCUCAGCAAGAAUCCUGAAUGCUUCCACAUAACAGUUUUUGAGUAUAAACAGCAGAACGUUACAAUCCUAAAUAAUGAUGGAAAAAAAUAUUCAAGAAGAGAGCAACUUGAAGCUCACCAUUUUCAUGCAGAAAAUCAACAACAGGUCUUGCUUGCACAUGUGCUUGACAAAGAACCCUUUCUGGAGCAUCCAUUUUUAACGGUAAUCUUGUCAAUCUUUCCCUCACAAGAAAUGCUUCCUGGCCUUCAAUACAAGAACAGGAGCUUAAAAAAGAGGAUAAAACAAGUACAUGAUACUAAAACUCACCAAAUUUUGUACCCACAGCUCCUAUUGGAGGCACUACAAAAUGAACUUGUUCCUCCAGAAUUAGCAAUUUUAUCAAAAUCAAACUGGCAAACCAGUGACCCAGAAGUGCCAGUCUGGGAUGACCACUGGGUCCUUUAGGCCUCAAACCCAAACAGAGGAUGAAUCUUUAAUUAAAAAAAUUGCAAAGAUCAUGAAUCAUAGGACUUGAACCAUGCAUGUCAAGAGUGCAAAAUCAGGACAGACCUGGGGCAAUUGCAUUUUCACUCUCUCUUUUGUUAUGCAGAAAUUUUCCCAGGGCAUGAAAUAGGGAAAGUGUUUCAUCUCUGCCAAAGGGUAAAGAAAAUCCAUCAUCCAAAGGAUUGAGCUCAUCUGAUUUUUCUUUCGAAUAAGUGCGGGCAGGCUCGGAAAAAGAUAAAGAAAGCAUCGGGUCUGGUUUCAGACAGAAGUAUUGUAAAGAUGUAAUUGCAUGUCUGACAUCACCUCCGCUAGAUCUUGCUAUUAGAUCAAUCUGAUCAGCAGUCACACCACACUGCUCUUGUCUGCAUAUUUUAGAAAGUGUCUUCUUAAUGGAGUUACUUGUGAUGGGAUUGAAAGCAAUCUGAAAUUUCCACAACCAGUUUAAAAUGAGCAUUUAAUAAUGAGAAAAUAGGGAACACCAAAUCAAACGGGUCAAACAAUGCAACCUUACAAGCCCCAGCAUUCUCCAGAGACAACUGAAGUUCUUCCAAGCAACGGGCGGUGGCAAUGUUGUCUGCAGAGUCAGCUUUACCAUAAUCGGUGAUCAAUAUAGCCGUUGGAAUCUGAGUUGAUUGCGCAAGAAGUUGCAAGCAGUUGCGAAGUCUUCUAUAAGAAGCAUUUCCAUUGGUCACAGGAAGAUCAUCAAUUAAAAGUAUGACGGAUGAUUUGGAUUCUCCAGCAAAGGACGGUGGGAUUAAACCAUAUUUCCUCAUCCUCUCAACAAAACUUUCAAACUCAUCCAACUUAGAUGUGUAGCGUAUCCCUAGUUAUGUCAUAUAACAUGGUCACUAUGAGAAAAUAACAAUCUUAUAAUAAUUUGUGCACCCAUAAUUUCUUAGCAAUAUAACAGAAACUGCCAACAAUAUAGUCCCUACAAGGAAAAAAUCUUUUAACCUCUAGGACAUUAAAAAAAAGAUAAGACUUAUUAAGUAUUGUUGCAGUUUGAGCCCCAAAUUUGGAUUUACCAAAAGCAAUUAUGAAUCAGUAGAAAUUGCCAAAAAAAAUAUAUGCCGCAUAAUAAUUAACUCCCACUGCUAAAAGAUGUCAACCACUUCUCUGUUUUUAGAUACCUAUAUGUUCACCAUACAGAGUGCACACCAUUCUACUUAUUCAAAAGCAAUAAUUAAACCGUGGCAUCCCAUUCAUCUUACAAGGGAGAUAGUUGGUCAACUAGAUGUGACAUGCAUAUAAUUCUGAUAUCCAAUAAACAUUGCAGUGAACUUUGGGAGAGAAAACAAACUAAAAUUCCUGCAUUCUGCCAUUAGGUGGGAUGCAGGGUCAGGCUGGGCAGAUAGCCAAUUUACUGUUCAAUGCAUUGCAAUGAGCAAUUCCAAUCUCAAAAGAAUGGGAUCCACAGAAACAUCAUAUAAGUUGAGCAAUGAAGCACCGACUUUUGCAAUGUCCCCAGCCUGACCUAAGCAUGCCUCUAGUUACUCAAUGAAAAACAUUUAAGUGCAAUACCUGAAUUUGUGUUAUGCAGAUGUUCUUGCCAUAUAGUAGGAAUAGGCGUGUUCCAUUCACAUAAUCUCGCUCCAAGAUGAGACGCAAUGGCAUGGAUAGUUGCCUACAAGGUUUGAUUCAUAAUUCUUUAGAAUGUCAGUGGGUUAUGCUUAUAAGAGCAGUACAAAACUAAACUAAACCCUUUGCAGUAUUCUUAUUUAUUUAUCAACAUAAAACUUUCUUCUACAAAUUGAAGCUAGAACAAUUUGCAAGGAAAAUUGCAAUUUUAUCAAUAUAAUUCCAGGUUAUGCUUUUAAGAGGCUUAUGUGAAUACCCAUACACGACAUCAAGCAACAAUACUUGAGUUCAAGUUAUGCCCAACAUGAGAAUAUCAUUUAGGACAUGGAAAAACAGAGCUACAACAUACAGAUUUCCCAACUCCAGCUUGUCCAGUGAUGACAAGAAGAUUGCACAUUUCUUCCUGUAAACAACAACAAGAACUUGAGCCACAAUCUUAAUGGAAUACAAUAAGCCUCAGAAAUGGAAGAAAAGGAAACAAAACUAAUGCAAAUAUGAGCACUUUAAUGUUUAUAAUUUUAGUUACAUAACAGCUUUGUCCAUCACAAUAACCUUAAGAAUCUUCACUUUUAUGCAUUAUCAUGGGUCUCGAAACAACAGAACAUGGACCAAUGCUGGUUAUGUUCCCAAGUCCAUGUGCUGGAGGCAACUUACCCCUGUAGGAGAUUGAAUUAACUUGUACAUCUGUGUUAUAAAGUGCAAUACAUGAAAUCUAUAAUCACCGCAUUUUUAGGAAUUAUUGGUUCAUAAUAAGCAUCAUCACAAUCAUCAUUCAACUGGGCCCAAAUAUCUGGGUCAGCAGGAUGAAUUCUGCUAACAAUUCCAUACCAUUUUAAGCCACCUUGAAAGACACCAGCAGUAUCAGCAAAGAUUUUGACAAUUCUUACAACAUUGCCAAUCUUAGUUGAAAUUAACAACCCAAAGCAAACCUUUAAAUCAGCAUAAUUCUAUAGUCACUUGUGUCAUAAUUAAAAAAAAAAGUUAUAUUUUGAAAGGCCUUCAUAAGAAGAACCCAAGCUCAAAAAUGGCAAAUAAAAAUCAGACAUCCAUAAUCCAUUCCAUGGGAAUUUACUAGAUCCUAAACACCCCAUCACAAUCUAGUUCCCGACUCAGCAAAAUUCAGUGUCUUUACUGAAACUAUAGAAAUAUAGAAUCUCAAAACUAGUUUUCUCAUGCUUAAUGGAGGAAUGAAGCAUGUCAAAAUAAGUAAUAUUGUUGUAAUACCCUUGAAGUUCUCAAUCUUUUCUCAAACCAUACUGUAACUUCUUCAACCUGCAAAAGCAAGGACAUGAUCUGUCACUAAAACAUUCAUAUUUGUAAAACAACACAAACUGACUAAAAUACUCCUGUUUGUGAAACAACAUAAACUAACUUGACCUUUUUCUUGUGAACAGCAAGUUCCUCCAAGGAUCGAGGUUUAUAUUUAUCAACCCAUAACUCCUUUCCUCCACACCUACUAGAACCUGAUUCGUGUUUCAACUAUCUUUCAGCUAAAAUGGCUCAGAGAUCAACGAGAAAUAAAUGGAUUACAAGAAGUCUCACACCACAAUGUGGAAUUCAUAACUUUAAUUUGAAUCAGUAAAUAUAUCAUUUGAAACACCAAUACCAGCUCCAUAGAUUUUGCUUAAACAUAAAAAACAUUCCAAACCUGAUCUCCUAAGCUUCUAGUAUAUAGGGACAUAAAUUGGUUUUAUAUCAAAUAAACAUCAUUAUGCAUUGGCAUGUGGAUAAGUUGCAUCAUGGCCCUAAAUGUGAAAGAUGAUGAUGAUAAUAAUAUCAGUUUACAAAGAGAUUCUGCCUCCAACAAGCACAGAAUGAAUGCAGAACAGUCCACAAUGUGCUAGGGAAAAUAAGCUACAGCUUCAAGCCAAUUGCAAUUUAUUUCAGAAGAAGAAACUAUGAGAAUAGCAUACCAGCAGAUACCUUGAAACCUGUAAGCCCUUCACCAAAUUCUUCACAAAACAAUCUCAUCUGCAACAUACAAUGUCAAACUGCAAAUUGUAAGUACUCUAAGAGAAAACAUCAGAUUACAGAACAACCCAAUUCUCUUAAUGAAAUGAUAUUAAGAAUCUGCAAAUCAUAAACUUUCAUUUAAGCUGUAUGCAUGCAAUACUUGUUUGUAUGCCACUGAAGAACCUGUUCUUCAAAUAUAGUACGCAUGUAAAGCAAAACCUACUCCACAAAACAAGCAAAUCAUCAUUGGAUUCACAUAGAACAUAGAUUUCGAAACGUAUAAUCAUUUUGUGAUUUUUUUCCUCCACUAAUUUCUUCCAUGAAAAAAUACUUCUUUCUAUGCUUCGACUAAGGGUUAUAACUGAUUGUCAAAUCGUUAUAAAUUCGACAUGAGUAGACCCACAGUCUCAAUUCACUCUAUCAGCACAAACUCAUUUCUUUUCCAGACUUCAUUACCGACCAAAACAAACAAACCAGGUUCAGUUUGGACCAAUUCCAAACCAGCGAGAACGAUUCAACCAUGUUCACCAAUCCACAACACAUUUAUUAAAUAUAUUAAACAUAUUAAACAUAUUAAAUACCUCAUCGAACACACUGGAAUCUCUACACAAGCGAGACUGAGAACCAGAAAUCCGAGCCUUCUUCGCUCCGCUAGGGUUUUUACGCCUCGAUUUGCACCUCGAAUAACCCCGCUUUGAAUUGAAUGAACCAUCUUUUUCUUCAUCCUCCGAUGAAGAAACCACAAUGGUGCUCCUCUUGCUCAUUACUGUCACCACUGAAACCCUGCUCUGUUAUGCUUCCGUACCGAUGAUUUCAGCUGCAAUUUAACAAAAACCCUAGAACAGCAUGGAGCUUCUUCAACGAAACCCUACAUUGAGAAUCGUAAAGAGAGUACCGAGACUUCAAAAACAGAGGAACCGAGAUCGUAGAUUGGAGACCAAAGUUGCUGGGAAUCUAAUAUAUAGAGAGAGGGCUCGCGGGUUCGAAAAAACGCGGGUGUUUAUCAAUUAUCAUAGCGUAGCCGAGAAGCCGAUGGAAAUUAAUAAUGCUACGGUGCAUCGCGGUCUAUUUUAAUAGCUGUAAAUCACCAACCUGAUGGAAAAUUUAUUUUAUUUAAAAUAAUAGUCACAAUCAUGAACCCUUGAAUAACAAAAAGUCUUAUCAUAAGAUUCAUAACUAACCAAAAUAUUUACUAAAAAGGAAUUUCCAUUGGACAUAAGAAAUAGGGAGAAUAAUGUAAUAGUCUCCUAUCUAUAAAUAAAUAAAUUUUUUUAAACUUUGAAUUUUUGCUUUUGAAGUUCAUUCAUUUUGGAGAAAAUAAUCCUUAAAAAUGCACUUAAAUAAUAAAAAAUCCUUAAUAUGUCAAAAUUACCCUCAUCAUCCGAAUUUCAGCAGUAGAUUAUCACCAAUUUUAUUUUAUUUUUUUACUUUUACAUCACUCACCACUCAUUAUGAUUAAUAUUUAUAAAAAAAAAAAAAUUGACAUGUGGCAACCUCAUUCGAUUUUUCUUUUUUCUUUUUUUUCCUCCAUAAUACUUCCACAUUUUUUUUUGUUUUUUUAAUAUGUUGGCUUCAUAAAAAAUUUUAAAUUUCAAUUUUUUCCACAAUUUUAUAUUUCAUAUUUAUUUAUUUUAAUUAUUUAUGAACAUUUUAAACAUAAAAUAAUAAUAUAUAAUAAAUUAUUAAUGAGAACAAAUUUAAUAUAAAAAUAAAUACAUAAUAACACAUUUAGAGAUUUAGGACAUAAGAUUUUCUAUAUUCCUAAAACAUAAGAUUUUUUAUUUUAUAAAUUUUAUUAUAUUUUUAAUUUUCAUGUGAAAAUCAAAAUUGAUGAUUAUGGUUUUAAUUUUUUUUGUUUAUAGAUCUAACUUCACCACGGUUUAAACUUUUCUUGGGUUAAAAUGUUUAAUAUUUUUAAUUAAAAAAAUGAAAACUUGGUUGUGGUUUUAACACUUAACAUUUUGCUUUGUUAAAAUUUAAAAUUGUUUAUUUAUAUAAAAUAAAAACAAAUUAUAUUUUUCAUUAAAAAAUGUAUUUAAUGAUUUAUAUUAUUUUCUCUUAAUUUUGUUAAAAAUUAAAAUUUUUGUUAUGCAUCCAUCAACAUAACUCUUUGGAAAAGAGAAUACCACACUUGUUUGGAAAAAAAAAAAAAUACCACUCUUUUGUGAAAAAAAAAAAAAAGUAACACAAAAAUAUAUCAAUAGUACCAAUGUGAUGGGAAUGAUGUACCAAUCUUCUUUGAUUUUCUAGAAAAAAAAAAAAAAAAAAAGGAGUAUCACUCUUUUAUGAAAAAAGUAGCACUAACUAACGUAUAUUAAAAGUAUCACAAUAAUGGAAAAGACAUAUCAUUGUUUUUUGGUUUAUGUUAAGAUAUGCAAAAAAAUUAAUUUUUAAUAAAAAAAAUUAAUAUAAAUGAUAAAAUACAAAUUCUUUAUGAAAAAUGUAUUUUAUUAUUCAUUUUAUAUAAUAAAAAUUAAAAAAUUUAACAAAUUAAAAUGAUAUAACCACAAUCAAGUUUUUAUCUUCUUUAAUUAAAAUUAUUAAACAUUAUAAUCAAUAAAAAAAGUUAAAACCAAGACGAAUUUACAUGUCUAUAAGUAAAAAAGUUAAAUUUGUUUAUUAUGUAUUUAUUUUUAUCUUUAUUUAUUUAUUAUAUGUUAUUAUUAUUAUUUUAUAUUUAAAGUAUUCAUAAAUAGUUAAAAUAAAAAAAAUGAAAGAGUGAAAAAAAUGAAAUUAAAAAUAUUUUUAUGAGAAUAUGUUAGUGACAUAUUAUAAAAAAAGUCAAAAGGUAAAAUAAAGAAAGAGGAAAAAAAAAUAUAUUGUUGCAGGUUGAUUGCCACAUGUCAAGUUUAAUUACAUUGAUAAGCAUGAUUGAAAAAAAAAAUCAUACGGCAUGGUUGAUUGUCACAUGUCAAUUUUCUUAUAAAAAAUAACAAUAAUAAAUAAAAAAAACUUAAAAUAGUUAACAACGGAAGAGAGAAAAAGUGAAGGAUAAUUUUGAAAUUUUGUUUGUGUUAUUGUUAGAGUGCAUGUUUUCAAAUUACUUUUUAAAAAAUCUAUAUAUAUAUUGUUAGUGAACCUUUAUAUGAUUUCCCCUAAGAAAUAUUUACCUAAUUAUAAAAUAAAUUUAAAAAUUCUCACAAUAAAUACAUCUUUGACAUGAAAAAAAAACAUUCAUAAAAAUUACUUUUAUCAAGAAAUAUCACAAACUUAUAUAUAAACUUGGUUGAGUAGUAAAUAAUUAACAUAAUCGAAAAAAGUGGAAACAAUAAAAAAAAUUAAUAGUACAUUUAGUAAUGAUUUUAGAAAAUGUUUAUAAUAUUUCUAACACUUAAAUAAUAAAAAAUUUCAGGUAUUAAAAAUAUUGGAAGCAUUUUCUAAAAUUAUUGUCAAACAGACUCUAAAUAUGUUAAAAAAUAUUAUUAAAAUGAUUUUAUGUUAUCAACAUUCUCAUUUGUGUCGCUCUCUUAUAAUAACAUCUUAUAGCAUUCUAUGCAUAUAUGUUUUAUCGUUUCAUAAAAGAGUUUAAUUUCUUAUCAACUCAGUGAUUUAAGUAACAAUGUAGAUUUUAACCACUUUUCCUCAGUAUUUUUUAGUGGAAGUAUUUUUAUUUUUUAUUUUAAAAAAAAAUAGUUGUUUGACAAAUUUUAGGAAAUAUUUUUAAAAUUUUGAAAAAUCACUUAUAAUAUCAAUAAAACAUUUAAUAGGUGAUACUCCUAAAAACACUUUUUUUAAAAAUCACUUUAAGUGGAAACACUAUCAAACGCACUUUGUAUUUUUUCAAAAAAAAUAUUUUAAAUGAUUUUUCAACUCUAUAAGUGAUUUUUCAAAUGAUAAAAAGUGUUUCCUAAACUUUGUUAACUAUAAUUUUUUUAUUUAAAAAAAAACAGUUUUUAGGAUAAAAAAAACUUUCCAAAAUCAUUGUUAAACCAACUCUAUAUUUAUUCAUUAAACAUUAUAAAUGAUUUUUUAAUAUUAUAUGUAACUUUUCGCAUUAUUAAAAAUAUUUUUUAAAUUUUAUCGAAUAUUUAAUUUUUAGGUUAAAGGCAAUCCCUAGAACUGAGUCUUAAUUAGCUGUUUGAGGGACAAAACGAACGUAGCGUAGGUGUGCAGUAGAGUUGGACCGGAAAACAAAAUAUGAUAGAAGCAGGUUGGUUUAAUUUUCAAAACUGGGUGUGCAAACAUGGAGAAUAUUCCCUUGGACUUGUUGGGGGUAUGGAUAGGUACUGAAACCAAUUUCACACUAGAAAAAGAAAGGUAACAGUUGGAAAUGUUAAAAAAUUCAAUCAAAUUUCUAAAUUAGACGAUAUCAUCAUUCUCCCAACUUGUAGGCUGGGUUUCAAAUUUGGCUGCAGGCAGCGGGGGGAAAAAUCCAAGUUGCUAACUUACUAGGCGAUGUAAACAAAAGAAAAAGAAAACAAAAGACUAAUAAAAUAGUAUUUGCCUUAAGACAAGGCUCCUCCCUCCAUUAUUAUAAUCCAAAUUGGCACCCAUCUGAGCUGAUUUAUGAAGCCAUGGUCAAUGGUGGAUGUGUUAUGACUUGUGAGAGGUUUGAGAGGAGAGAUCAGAGAUGACGAAGGAGAGCAUGGGAAUGCAGCAAGUCAUCUGCAUGAAAGGAGGAAAACUGAAAUUUUCCUGAACACCCUUUAGGAAAACUGAAAUUAUAUUUAGUUAUUAAUUGAUUUACUGAACAACCUUUAGGAAAACUGAAAUUUUCUAAAGGAUUUGAAAAUGAGGGGAUUGGCAAACGAAGAAUUUGUAAUCUCCAGAAUUUUGGAUUUUGUUGUUUUGUUGAAUGAUGCUGGUGGAUGGUGGCGGCGGCCAUGAUGUUGGUGAUAGUAACUUCAAAUUAAUUGGUUUAUUUAUGUUGUAUAGACUGCAUUAUCAUCCAUGUCAAUGCCCCUGCUGGAGCAAGCAGUGCUAGAUUUAUGUUGCACCACCUUACCUGAGAGUGUCGCCAUAGCAGGCCUUGGCUGUUCAUCAGGCCCAAAUACCUUUUGCGCCGUCUCCGAAAUCGUGACCAUCAUCUACAAGAGGUGCUGUCAACUAGGCCGGUCACCACCAAGAUUUUGGGUUUUCUCGAAUGAUCUUCCAGGGAAUGACUUCAAUUCUGUGUUCAAGUCAUUGCUAGCAUUCCAUGAAAAGAUGAGGGGGAAAAAUGGAGAGGAGUUUGGGCCAUGUCAUGUUGCUGCAGUUCCGGCUUCUUUCUACCACAAGCUUGCUCCACCCAGAACACUACAAUUUGUGUACUCUGCUUGCAGUCUCCAUUGGCUUUCCCAGGUUGGCUUAUUAUCCAAAUUCAUCUACAAAGAACAUAGUGCCUUAGAUGCUGAUACUUUCAUAGGUUCCUCCGGAGCUUCUUAACAAGCAAAUUUCAAACAAGGGGAAGAUUUAACUUACAAUUUCAAGCUCACCACCUCUCAUAGAUGCUUACGCGGCUCAGUUCCAGAGGGAUUUCUCUUUGUUUCUCAGGUUGAGAGAAGAAGAAAUAGUCCCUGGAGGAUGCAUGGUUUUGCCAUUCAAGGCCAGGAGAACCCCAGACCCAGUCCCGGAUGAGAGUUGUCUGUUGCGGGAUCAAUUGGCACAGGCAUUGCAGGAGUUGGUUUCAGAGGUAUGUGUUGUACACUUCUUUCUUCCUCAUCUCAAGCUGAAACAUAGGCAUGUAACGAAUCGUGUUUCCGACAGGGGCUUAUUGCAGAGGAGAAAUUAGAUUCCUACAAUGUACCAUUCUAUGAACCUUACACGGAGGACAUAGUGACUGAAAUCGAGAAGGAAGGAUCCUUCAGCAUCAACGGCCUUGAGAUCAUGGCCUUACCAUGGGAUAGCCCCUAUGGUGGACAAAAUUAUGACAGGCCAACAAGUGCCCAGAAGCUAGCAAAGGCGAUGAGAGCAGUGCAUGAACCAAUGUUGGCAAGUCAUUUCGGGGCAGAAGUCAUGAACCCUUUGUUUAAAAGGCCCAUGGAGAUCAUUGCAGCAGAUACAAGGGAAGUGGAGCAUGUUGCUGUUCUUGUUUCCACGACCAGAAAGACUUGAUUCCACUCUCAAAUUAUCUCAGUAUUGUCAUAUUGCAUUUGCCUCUCAGACACUUGUUUAGUUAUUUGCAUCUCUCUGUACAAGAUCCAUGGAUUAUUGGACCUAUAUAUCCUAAUGCCUGUUUAGAUAGGGGGAAAGAACAGAUGUCAAAAUGUUAGCCCAGAAGAGAAAGUGGGCAAGGGGGGGCUGGCCAUGUAAGGCUUCCAUUUGCCCAAAAGGUGGCUUGGAACCUGAAAGGUAAUAAAUUGAACUUGAUUUUCUAUUUUAUUAUUUGCCAAAACUAUGUAAGGAAAAUUCUUAAUUAUUUCUUCUUUUACCAUCUCUCUAUUUUUUUCAUUGAAUUUCUCAUUGAAACUUGAAAAUAUGAAAAGUAAAGUAAUAACCCAAACAAAGUUAAAAAGAGUUGGCCACUUGACUUAGUAAGGUACAUGAUAGCAUGUUGUUCUAAAGCUAUUAUGGCCUUCCUAACCCUAAUCAUGGGCUCCCACAAUGUCUUCUAUAUGGACAAAUUCAUGAGAAGACUACCGAGAACCCAUUCCCAAUUUAGUUGCCUAGAAAACGUGAAGACUAAAGAAGAAGAAGAAGACGAUCUCUUUAGUAUUUUUUUUAUAUUUUUUCCCCAAAAAAACAAGGCUCCAAUAACUUGAUCAAACUUAAAAAUUGCUCUAGGUCAACAGCAACUCGCCUUGUCUUCUUUUGAACAUAUUGUCUUGAACCGCAAAAUUUUCAAAUCAUUCAAUUGAGUGCAUUCUCAAGCAUUGUGGUAGGUCUGCACUUAUUGCCAUACAUAGAUCACACUUCUUCUCCAUGUACAAGUUGUUUGACAAAUUCUUUGUCACGUACAAUCACUUCAAAUUGUUUUAAAGUGUUUUUGAUAUUGAUUUUAGAAAACGUUUCUAUUCUUUUUAUCAUUUAAAUGAUAAAAAAUUUUAAAGUAUUAAAAAUGUUAAAAAUACUUCCUACAAUCACUAUCAAACAAACUGUAAAAGUGUGUUUGGUAAUAAUUUUAGGAAGUGUUUUUUAGUAUUUUUAAUAUUUGAAAGAUAAAAAUUUUUAAAUAUUAGAAACACUUUUUAAAAUCACUAUCAAACGCACUCUAAGAAUGCGUUAGACAGUAAUUUUAAGAAGUAUUUUUAUUAUUAUUAAUACUUGAAAUUUUGUAUCUUUCAAGUAUCAAAAAGACUAGAAACGUUUUAUAAAAUCAUUGUCAAAUACACUUUUAGAAUGUGUUUGACAGUAAUUUUAGGAAAUGUUUUUAGUAUUUUUAAUACUUGAAUGAUAAAAAUUUUCAAAUGUUAGAAACGUUUUCUAAAAUUACUACCAAACGAGUUUAAGUAUCUUCAAUUGCUUCUUCAAACAAGUUUACAUUAAGGAAAAAACUACACCAUAAAACAAAUAUAAAAUAACACAAGAUUUAUGGAUAUUCAACAAUGUGCUUAUGUGUUUGGAAGAGAGUGAUGCUCUAUUCAAUAUAAAUUUAUGGAAAUGGUUAAAAUUCUAAGGGCAUGUUUGGUUGCUGUUUUUGAAAAUUGUUCUGGAAAAUAAUUUCUGAGAAUAGUUUUUUGUGUUUUAAAAAAAAAAAAAUUGUGUUUGGAAACUGAAUUAUGGAAAACAGUUUUUAUUCUCAAAAACAAAAAAACAUGUUUGGUUGAGUUAAUAAAAAAGUUUUUUAAAAUAAGUGAAACAAAAAACAUGUUUGAAAUUUAUUUAUUUUAAUUAAUAAAGUGUUUUAUUCCAUUAACUUGAUAUAAUAAAAAUAAAAAUAAUUUUCACAUGCAACAUUCAUUUAAAUUUAAAAAAAUUAUUCUAUUUUGAAAUUUUUACACCAGUUAUAAUUUUCUUAAACAAAUGAUGAUUUUAUCAUUAUGUGUAAGUAUAUUAGUUUCAAUAAUUUUAGGAAGAAGAAAGGGUUCAUGGGUGAGAGUGUGAUGUCCCACAUCGGAUAGGGGAGAAAGUUCAUGACACUAUAUAUGUAGAGACUCUUCUUAACCAAGUAGACGCAUUUUAAACCUAUGAGAGCCCCAUUGGGCUCAAAGCGGACAAUAUCUACAUGGUUGGGUGCGGGUCAUUACAAAUGGUAUCAGAGCUAAUCCUCGACCCUGGUGUGGGGGUUUGUUUGGCCUCAUAAGGGGUGUUUGUUUGUUUGGUCCCGUAAUCCCAUGGGACACAACGAGGACGUUGUGUCUGCAUGGGGGGAUGUUUGUGAUGUCCCACAUUGGAUAGGGGAGAAAGUUCAUGGCAUUAUAUAUGUAGAGACUCCUCUUAAUCAAGUAGGUGGUUGAGUGGAGCUCACAUUUGUGGAAACACAAAAAACAGUUAAGAAAACACAAAAAAAGGAAGAAAAAAUACAAAAAAUAAUUUAUUUUUUGAAUAGUGAAAAAACAAUGAAAACAUCUUUUUAUUAUUUUCAAAAAAAUGAUUUUUGAGAAAACAGAAAACAUAAAAACUAAAAAUACACCUCCUUUGCCAAUCAAAUUUUUUAUGUUUUUUGUUUUCAAGAACAGAAAACAGUUCUUAAAAAUAGGAACAAACAUACCCUAAAGCUCUCUAUGUUUCAAUCAAAGGUUCAAUCACGCCCACAGUGAUCACCAUGCAUUUGUCCUUUUCUUUUUUUGUUUCACAAUAUUUUUUAUUCAUUACGUGAGAAUAUUUCAUCAAGAGAACAAAUUAUGUACUUAUAAAACCUAUUUUAUAGAAAAAAAAUUCGCAAUAUGAAACCCCUCUUUUUAAGAGAACAUCACAAGGUUAGAACUUAUUUGAAUAAAAUUGGUAUAAAUAUUAAUAAUUUAAAGAUUUUUCCCGUUUUUAUUUUUUAAAAUAUAAAUACUUAAAAAAAUAUAUAUAUGUCAUAUGCUAUAAAGUUCUUUUCAAAAUUUUAAAUAGAAGUAACAAUGAGACGGUCUUUUCAAGUAUAUAUAUAUAUGAUAAUAAUAAUAGAUACUUUUAAAUGAAAUAAAUUAUAAAAAUUAUAAUAUUUUAAUUAUUUAUAAAAUAUAUUUAUUUUAAUUUUUUUAAUUUUUUUAAAAAAUAAUUAAACUCUUGACCUCUCUUGUUAACUUUCGGAUGAAGAUGAAAAUUACUUUGAAUAAUAAGAUAUGGUUGGAAUGAAGAUGAUAAAUUAUCCCUAAUUUUAAGAAGUAAAAAAUUUUACUUUCUUAAACUUUAAAAAUUUUAAAGAGUGUUUUCAACUACCUGCUUUUUAAAUAUUUGUACAUAAAUUUUUUUAUAUUUUAUACAAAAUUUUCUAUUUUUAUCCUAACAAACUCACAGCUAUAUUUAAUAAACUUUUCACGAUUAGGCCAACCUAGUGUAGGAGUGCAGUAGGUUUGGACCAGAACACAAAUAUGAUGGAAGCAGGCUGGGUUUCGAAUUUGGCUGCAUGCGCGGAGAAUCUUUUCCAUGGACUCGCUGGAAUAUCGGUGGGUAGAGUAGUUAACAAUUUUUCUUUUCUCUUUUUUUUGUUUUUAUAUAUUUUAAGGCGAAUCCAAAGUGGUUGGGUGAUGUAAACAAAAGCAAAAGAGAAAGAAAACCAUUAGGAGGGCGUUUGGUUUUUUGACUUUUUGAUAAAAAUAAUUUACUUUUAAAUUUUAAGUUUGUUUGUUUUUUUUAUUUUUUAAAUGAUUUAUUAUAAAUUUUUUAUUAAAUAAAAAAAUAAAAUAUUAAUUUUUUUAACUCUCUAAUAUUUAAUAAAAAUAAAUUAUUUAAUAUUUAAUAUUAUUAAGUAUUAAUAUUUUAUUCAAGGUUAAGUAAAAAAACAAACACCACGUAUUUGGACAAUGCAGGACGGAACAAACCCGUCUGGACUUGUCCUCCAUUAUUAUUAUAAUCCAAACCCGCACUCAUCUGAGUUUAUUUUAUAAAGCCAUUGUCAAUGAUGGAUGUGUGGUGAGAGAGUUCAGAGGAGAGAUCAGAGAUGAAGAAGAAGGAGAGCAUGGGAGUGCAGCAAGUUAUCUGCAUGAAAGGAGGUGUCGGAGAGGGAAGCUAUGCCCGUAACUCCAAAUCACAGGUUGGUUUCUCUCUCUCUCUCUCUCUCUCUCUCUCUGUGUUUGCGUUUUUUUGUGAAAGGGCGGCCAGCUCCUUUGAUGGUUUCACUAAAUAGCUUAACAGCUUUUAGAUGUCCAUGGCAUCAAAGGGCUCAACUUGAAUAUGCAAGCUGAAAUUGAUUUUUCAGAAUUCUUUGGUUUGUAGAAGAACUCUUCAGAAAGUGAGAGAAAGUUGAAAUUUUGGGUUAAUAGUUAGCAGGAAUGUGACAAGGAGGUCAGAUCAUAAGAGGACACCAUGUUAAGGUUUUGGAUGGUUUUCCUUUUUUGGAUGCUGAAGCCAAGUCUAGAUUUUUAAAGGGUAAUAAUGAUUCAUAUUGACAGCGCGGAGUUAGGAUUUGAGACCAUUCACUCUUCAUUUCAAAGGGCUUGAGCGCUUGCCAUUGGGGUGGAGUCACUGGACUAAGUUAACCUGUACAUAAAUUUUCAAGUCUUGAUCCCAUUAAGUGAUUUUCUUGCUCUACCACUAAAUAUUGGUAUUGUAAAAUUUUUAUUAAUUAUGAGAAAAUUUGGGAUGGAAAAUUUUUAAUGACUUCCAUAUUCAGCUCUUUCUUUAAGUCAUAACUCUCUGAAUGAAAUUAGAUAAAAAGUUACUUUAAGUUCUUAUCAAACUUAAACAUGAGUUUUUGGCCUCUCUGAAGUCAAUUUUCAAUACCAUCUUAAAUUACCCUUAUUCUGAAAAAGGAUUUAAUUUCUUGGAGAAUGGGAUAAUGCUCUCUUAAGAAGCAAACCAAAAUCAGUGUGGCUGAGUUUAGAAGAAAUAAAACAAAGCCCCAACAGAAUUGAACGGAUCGUGCUGGCCUUUUUAUAUGAGUCUCUUGGCUUUCCUAGGCUCAGGGCCUGGGGCAAUUUGGCCAGGCAAGCUUAGGUAUAAGGACAACAUUAUGGAACUUUGGCUCACGGUAAUUGUUAUAAAUGAGGUAACUUAUUUAAGGUCUGAAAAGUUGAAAUUUUUUAAAAUUAUGUUUGUUUCGAAAAAUUUGAGGAAAAAUACAAGAAAAAAAAAUUAAAAUGAAGGAAAAAAAUAGACUUCAAAUAAAUAAAUUAUAUUUGUACAUUUCUCCAAAUCCAUGUCAUUUAUUUUCCUCCAUUAUAUUUAACUUUCUUUUAUAUUUUCAUGGUAAAAUAAAAAAUGAAAAAAUUAUUUUGUUAAGCAUAAAUCAAAUGUGAAAAAAAAAAAAAUUCCAAAUUUUUUUUUUCUUUCCUUGGAAUCAAACAUGGCCUAAAGGAUUUGAAAAUGAGGGGAUUAGAAAACUAAAGAUUUGUAAUCUAUAGAACUUCGGAUUUUGUUGUUUUGGUUGGAUGGUUACGGUGAUGGUGGUGGUGGCCAUGAUGCGGGUGGAUGGCGGUGGUAGGUGGUGAGGCGGUUGAAGAGGAUGUGGCGGUGGCGGCCAUGGUGGUGGUGAUAGUAACUUCAAAUUAAUUGGUUGAGUCAUGUUUAUGAACUGUUAAAUAAUCUAUUGGUUUGGUGUUGUAUAGGCUGCAUUACUAUCCAAGUCCAUGCCCCUGCUGGAGCAAGCAGUGCUAGAUUUAUGUUGCACCACCUUACCUGAGAGUGUCGCCAUAGCAGACCUUGGCUGUUCAUCGGGCCCAAAUACUUUUUUCGCGGUCUCCGAAAUCAUGACCAUCAUCUACAGGAGGUGUCGCCAACUAGGCCGGUCACCACCAGGUUUUUGGGUGUUCUUGAAUGAUCUUCCAGGGAAUGACUUCAAUGCUGUGUUCAAGUCAUUGCCAACAUUCCAUGAAAAGAUGAAGGAAGAAAAUGGACAGGAGUUUGGGCCAUGUCAUGUUGCUGCUGUUCCGGGUUCUUUCUACCACAAGCUUUUUCCAUCCAGGAGACUACACUUUGUGCACUCUUCUUGCAGUCUCCAUUGGCUGUCCCAGGUUAGCUUAUUAUCCAAAUUGACCCAGAAAGAAACAGUGCCUUACAAUGUUGACUCACUCUUCUUGCUUGGGUUUACGCUGAUCCUUUCACAGGUUCCUCCAGAGCUUCUUAACAAGCAAAUUACAAACAAGGGGAAGAUUUAUCUUUCAAAAACAAGCUCACCGGCCCUCAUAGAUGCUUACGCAUCUCAGUUCCAGAGGGAUUUCUCUUUGUUUCUUAAGUUGAGAUCAGAAGAAACAGUCCCCGGAGGACGCAUGGUUUUGUCGCUCAUGGCCAGACGAACCCCAGACCCUGUCUCAGAUGAGAGUUGUCUGUUGUGGGAUCUAUUAGCACAGGCGUUGCAGGGGUUGGUUUCAGAGGUAUGUGUUCUACGUAGGGUGUCAAUUCAUGUUUUUGUCGUGUACCAGCCUAGGCAAUGUAUUGCAUAGUUCUACCCAAACCCUACGUAAAUAAUCCAUUUAACCCAUUUAAUAAUUCCAUCUUUUUAUUUAAUAACUUAAUUAGACUAUAGUCAAAUAUAAGUUAAAUAAUUUAAUAUUAUAAUUAGAUUAACCAAUACGCUUUUUAAAUGUGAUUCAAUUCGCAAAUGACACGAAUUGAAUCAACACCUAAUUAUCUCAAUCCAAACCCGGGAAAAACAUGUUAUGAUCGAGCCAUAUGCACAAAUCCCAUCAAACUUGCUCACCCCUAGUUGUGCACUUCUACUUCCUCAUCUCAUACCAAAAAAUAAGCAUAAUUAAUGAAUGGUGUUUCCAACAGGGGCUUAUUGCAGAGGAGAAAUUAGAUUCCUACAAUGCACCAUACUAUCAACCUUACACAGAGGACCUAGAAACUGGGAUAGAGAAUGAUGGAUCCUUUAGCAUCAACGGCCUUGAGAUCAUGGUCUUACCAUGGGACAGUGCCAGUGGUGGACAAAAUUAUGAUAGGCCAACAACCGCCCAGAAGAUUGCAAAGUCGAUGAAAGCAGUGCAAGAGCCGAUGUUGGCAAGUCAUUUCGGGGCAGAAAUCAUGGACCCUUUGUUUAAAAGGCUCAUGGAGAUCAUUGCAGCAGAUACAAGGGAGGUGGAGCAUGUUUCUGUCCUUGUUUCCAUGACCAGAAAGGCUUGAUAUCACUCUCAAGUCUCAAUCUUCCAUGACUUGUCAUACUGCACUUGCCUCUCAGACACUUGUUUAGUUAUUUGCAUCUGUACAUGAUCCAUGGAUCUGUUGAUUAUUGGCCUAUAUCCCAAUGGUUGUUUGGAUACGAGGAACAUGGAGGGUGGAGGAAGAGACCAAAGCUCUAUUUGAGAAGUGCUUUUGAAAAACAGAUUUUGAGUUCUAAUGUUUUGUAAAACAAUGUUUCGUAAAAUAGAAAAAGAAGUUUCUUUACCCUGAUCAUUUCCAAAAAAUAUUUAUUUAUUUUUUAUUUCAUUUAUAGGUUGGCUUAGAAACUAUAUGACAUUAACUAAAAGUAAUUAAAAUAUAUUUUCUAAAAAUAACAUAUUUUUCGUUUUUAAGAAGAAAAUAAACAUAUUUUCUAUUUUUUAAAAAUAAAAAAAUAUUUUUUUUUAUUAUUAAAAACCUGUUUGGCAAUGAUUCUAAAAACCGUUUAUAACCUUUUUAGCAUUUUAAAAGUUUUAUCUCUUAGAAUCAUUGCCAAAUAGGCUCAGAGCUAAAUCUCAAAAUGUUAGCCAAGAAGAGCAAGCGGGCAAGGGGUGGCUAGCUGAGGCUUUCUUUUCAUUUGCCAAAAACGUGCCUUGAGGCUGACUUUUUGGUGUACUUGUUGUGCAUGGGUGUGCCUUCGACUUGGACAAUGUGAAACAAAAAUUCAGCUACUAUCCAACUUUCAACUCAGGGAGCUCCCACAAUCAUCCUUAACUUCUACGUCAACUCAGAAAGGAAGACAUGUGAUUACUAUGCAUUUACUAAACCAAAAAUCUAAUACAAACCCAUGGAAAUGAGAAAGGAAUGGUAGGGAGCAAUUGAGAGGCAACCAUAAGGUUAUGCACCAUGCUCUAUCAUCUCUUUAGUUUUUUUCAAUUUUGUAAUAAUAUUCUAUCCCAUUGAAUAUACCAAUUUGGUCCAUUAAGGACAAAUUAGGGAUUAUUGGGUAUGUAUUGACUUAGAUCAUUUUUUUUUUUUUUUUGUCUAGACCAGUCUCAUUAUUUUAUAUUUGGAUUUUUUUUUUUACAUUUAAUCUUAUUUUUAUACUUUUAUCUAGCAAAAUCCUUGAUAAAUAAGAAUUCAAACACGAAGAUCCCACAAAUCAAACCAGAUGAAUUAAAAUCCCAGAAGAGUGAAUUUUGGUUCUCAUAAUAAUGAUUUUUAAUUUUUAUUUAAUUAUUUUAAUAUUAUAUCUUGUUCUUUCUAAUGAAAUAUUGUAAUGAGAACUACAUAGAAAUUAAUGUUGAAGGAUAUCUUUUUGAAAGUGACCACGUUAACAUUAUUGUUUAAGGUCAAGGCUAUGCUUUGGUUUAGGUAUCAGGCCAAUUUGACUUAUGGUAUGCUUUCCUUCUCUCUAUAAGACAAGAAUUACCUAUGAGGUAUGAUAGAUUUAUCAUUUUGGAAUAUUUAAAAAGAAUGUAAUAAAAGAAUUUUUGAAAAUUUUUAUUUAAAUAUGUAUUUUUUAAAUCAUUUUUUUGUUUGGUUUAGGGGGUUGAUGAAAGCUAUUCUUCAAUAUUCUUAGAUUGUAAAUAGUAUGAUGUGUUUAUUUGUUUUUUUUUAUUUGGACAAUUUGCCUAAUCAAUAUCUAUCAAGACAACUAAAUUAAGAAUGCAUUUGAUAUUGAUUUUAAAAAGUGUUUUAAAAUUUUUAUUUUUCAAAUAUUAAAAAGACUAUAAAUAAUUUUUUUUAAUUAUUCUUCAUGAAGAGAUAACACAUGACUAAAAGACAUAGGAGUAGGCAGAGGUUUGGCAUUGGACAUUUGUGCUUUGUCCAAAGGUCAUGACUAUAUUUAGCUUAAUUCAAAUGCAAAGAGAGUGCUCAAUGCCAAAAAAAUAAUUGAGGGAACCAAGAUCCAUCAAGGCAAAUUUGGUUUGAUCCAUCUUUUUGGCUAUAUAUGGUUGCUUUAAAGGAAAUAUAAAGAAAAAAAAUAGAUAGAAAAAUAAAAAGAUUUAAAGUAAUAAUUUUUUUUAUAUAUUACUUCAAAUUCUUUUUAAUUAUUCAUUAUAAACAUUAAAUAAAUUGAAAAUAUAUAAGUUUAUAACUAAUUUUAAUUACAUCUUAUAUAUUCUUUUUUGAAUAUUUUUUAUAUUAUAAUCAAUUAUGAAAAAAUAAUUUUCUUAAUAUAUUUUAUUUGUAUAAUACAUUUGGAAUUUUAAAUUCACUUUCUUGAUAACUUAUUUAAAAAGAAAUUUCAAUCCUAUUCUUCACAAAAAAAAAUUACCUUAAAAAGUUGAAAUAUGUUGCACUGUAAGCUAUAAAGUAAAAGUUAUAGCAAAAGUGUUUUAGAACCCGUUUAAUAAUGAUUUUAGAAAAUAUUUUUAAAUUUUUUAACAUUUAAAAUUUUUUAUUAUUCAAGUGUUUAAAAAAUUUAAAACAUUUUUUAAAAUCACUACCAAAUGUACUAUCAAUAUAAAUCAAUACAACAUAACUGAUAUAUAGUGAUUUUAAAAAAUAUUUUUGAAAAAAAUAAGUAAAUAUUUGAUAAAAUUUAGAAAGUAUUUUUUAAAAUUUAAAAAAUCACUUCUAAAAUUUAAAAUUUAUUUAUAAUAUUUUUUUAGAAAAUAUUUGAUAGAUGAUUCUCGAAACACUUUAUAAAAAAUUACUUUCACUAAUGUAUAAGAACACGAACAAACUAUUAACUUGUCCAAUUUAUAUUAUACAAUUCACACAUAUCCCUUUUUCUUCUAUACAUAAUUUAAAAAUAAAAAUAAAAAUGGUUGCCCAAUGCCAACAACCACGAAACAUUUAAUCCGGAAUCUCAAAUUAUCGCGAGAAAAAGGUUCAAAUUCGCGGCCAACCGGGAGGUGCUGGGCCGUUGGCAAUUCAUAGAACCAUCCUCACCUACCCACAUCAUCCCAUAUCCCCUUCUUCCUUCUUCUGCAGACGCAAUGUUACAUCUAAACUUCAAACCACCAACUUUUAUCCACCAUUUCAUCUCCCCAAAGCGCUCCGUUUCCAUCUCUCUUCCCAGCCCCAACCCUAAUCCAUGGCCUCUUCCGCCAAUCCUUUCUCUCUUUCGCUAUCCUCCGAGCUCGCUUCCAACUCUUCUCUCCACUGCGCCAACUCGUCCGAGGUCUUUCUCCGCUUCCCGAACUCUCCCGCGCCCCCCUCGCUCCGCUCUUCCUUCGUCUCGCCUAUUAAGAUUGAAUUGAAUCGAGUCGGUGUUUCUGCGUUGAAAGUGAGUCGAAUCGGUUCAAGGAUUUCGGCGAGUUCAACUCCGGUGAUGGAUCAGUCGCCGAGUCAGACGAGUCCUAGGGUUCCUACUGUUGUUGAGGUCGAUUUGGGGAACCGGAGCUACCCGAUCUACAUCGGAUCUGGAUUGCUUCAACAACCCGAGCUUCUCCAGAGGUAUUUGAAUUUGAUUUUUGUUCAAGUUUUUGUUGAUAUUUAUACAUGUAACGCGUUUGUAACCAUUUAAAGUUUAGGGAAUUUGUGCUAUGUGAAAGAUAGAUGACGGACAAGUGAAUACAAUUGAAAGUUGUUAUUUUGGUUGGGUUUGGCUUGCUGUUUGGUUGCUGAGAAGAUGUAGGAAAGAGAAAGAAAUUGGAAUUUGAACCGUAAAAAAAUGACCAUUUUCAUCAUUUACAAACUCAAGAAAACAGAACUCCAUUCAGCUCACUCUGGGCUAUUGCACUGCUUGGAUUAGUUGAGUUCACAUUUUUUGACAAACCAAAAACAAUAGAAAACAGGUCAUACAUUGUAGAGUGGCGGGCAUGUGGUCCAUGUUGUUUUCGCCUCUGGAGUUCCUUCAGUGUUGGUGUUUGUUCAUUAAGGGACUUUGACUAUUAGGCAUGGAAGGUUUACACAGAAGGAAAUGAGGAAAGUAUGAAAAGCACCACAUUUGUGCUUAUUUUGGUGUUUAUGGAAGGAACCUAACCAAUAAACAUCUGAAGGUCAAAUGUGAUUAGAGUUGCAGGUGAAUAUUUUAUUCCUUAGAUCUUUGGUUGUUUGAUCAAUAGAUUUUCAGUAGUGGGAACCUUCUUUUCUAAAAUUGAAGUCAUGGGUCUUAGCCUAAGGCUGUUGUUUAGAUGGUUUUUCUCAUUUCUGUUCUUUGUCUGAUCCUUGUAAACUUACUAUAUCCCUGGGUUAUGCAUCUUUUUUGAGGUGUCUGCAUCCAGAAAAAAAGAAAAGAAAAUAAAAAACAACAACAUGAAACCUGGGGCCCUUUUUUUUUUAUCGUCUGUUUCCAAAAAAACUCAGUAUUGUUUUCUUUUUGUUCCCUUGGUCUUCACAGCAACUAAAUGGAGGGUGUUGGGAGAAUUGAGUUGAUUCAAAUAUUGGAUGAGAAUGUAUUCUCUGUCUCUAAAACUAAGGCUCUGUCUAAUUUCAAAAGAAUAAGGGAAAUGAAAGGGAGGAAAUGCUGAAACUAGACCGAAAAAGGAAUCCAUUUUUGGGCAAUUACAAAUAUUUCCCUUCCUCUCCUUACUUUCUGAGGCAAAAUGAUAUGCUCUGAUGUUGUUCAUUUAUAUUAAUUUAAUGCUAUUUCAUAGACAUGUUCAUGGGAAGAGAGCUCUUGUGGUCACCAACACCACAAUUGCAGCAUUAUACCUUGAUAAAGUAGUUGAUGCUUUAACUCGUGGAAACCCAAAUAUUUCAGUUGAGAGUGUGAUUUUGCCAGACGGUGAGAAGUACAAAAACAUGGUAGGUAUAUUCAAGUUUCAAUUAACGAUUUGUGUUUAAGAUGUGAUUGUAGUUGCAUUAAUUUAAUUGCUUUUAUGUAUUGUAGGACACACUAAUGAAAGUUUUUGACAAGGCAAUUGAGUCACGGUUGGAUAGACGUUGUACAUUUGUUGCCGUUGGUGGUGGUGUUAUUGGUGACAUGUGUGGAUUUGCUGCUGCUGCCUUCCUUCGUGGUGUUAAUUUCAUUCAGAUUCCUACAACUGUAAUGGCACAGGUAUGUCUUAAAUCACAGCACCUUUUUAGCUGGCUCUUGCUCCCUUUGCAUGCUUCAGGUGUACAAGGGCUGGACACCUUCUUUCUUAGGUGCUCCUAAUCUAACUGUUUGCCUAUCAGAAAAAAAAAAAAAACCAAAAACUAACUUUAAUAUUCUUUUUUAAACUUGGCACUUAUGUUGAAUUUCAGCUGGCUUCUGAAAAAAUAACUAUUUUUUUUUUCUAGGUGGAUUCUUCAGUUGGAGGCAAAACUGGCAUAAACCAUCCUCUAGGAAAAAAUUUGAUUGGUGCUUUCUACCAACCUCAGUGUGUACUUAUAGACACUGACACAUUAAACACACUGCCAGAGAGGGAGUUGGCAUCAGGUUUUGCUGAGGUUAUUAAGUAUGGGCUUAUUAGGGAUGCUGAAUUCUUUGAGUGGCAAGAGAAGAAUAUGCAGGCAUUAAUGGCAAGGUAAUAAAAUAUUCCAUUCUCAUCAUAUUCUUCUUAAAAAAAAUUUGAUUUUAUGUGAGAUUAGCUUAUAGUUCAAUACUUAAGAUUUGCAUUCAGUGAUUCUCUGUACAAUUAGUGGGCAUAUCUUUUCAAUGGAAGCACUAAACUUACCCAGAUGUUUGAAAAGGUUUUCAGACCCAGUAAAUUUAUUGGUAGCAUUUUUCUUGUAAAACAUUUGAAGAAAGAUCAAAUUACGUUCUUGGAUUGAAACAAAGAGGAAAUCUUUGUAUAAACGAAGUUCAAAGGUUUUUUCUAUUAUUUUGAAGUUCAAAAUUUUAGGGAUUCUAAUUAAGGUUUGUUGCAGAUGCUGAUGUAUAUCCACAAACACCAAGUUAUCUGCAUUGGGGCCAUGCUUGGUCCAUCCUUGUUAUUUGUAUAGCUUCUGAGAGGAAUGUCAUGCAUGAAAAUAAUGGUUUGGUCCUUUGCAGGGAUCCAGGUGCACUGGCUUAUGCUAUCAAGCGAUCAUGUGAAAACAAGGCUGAGGUAGUAUCUUUAGAUGAGAAGGAAAGUGGACUGAGGGCGACAUUGAACUUGGGUCAUACUUUUGGCCAUGUGAGUUUUGAGUUCAUGUGAAUGAUUAUGUUCUUUUUUUGCUUUAUAAAUCUGCUUGUUGGCUUUAUGCUGGUGCCUCUCUUAUAUGGAAAUUGCUAUUAUGAUUCAUUGAAAAAUAAUUGUUUCCUGAAACUUUUUAUAAUUGUAAGGGGAAACCAAAAGUAAGAGUAAUAUCUCUGAUAAAAAAAAAGGUAAAGAGUAAUAUAUCUCAAAAUUACAAGUUCUCGUUAAAGCAUCUAAUCCCUUGAAAUUUUCUGAAGUAAUGUGAUAUCAUAUUAUCUUGUUUGUUGUGUCAUUCCAUAUUAUCUUGUUUUUGUGGACCUUUUAUCAAGUUAUACAUGCUAUGUUUGGCUCCUAUAAAAUUUGAGGGAAAAUGCUUGGAAAUGAAAGUAGAAAAGAAAAGUAGAAGGAAAGAAAACAAAAAGGAAAAUAAAAAAUAAAUUUAAAGUCAAUAAAUUAUUUUUAUAUAUCACUUCAAACUUAUUUUACUUAUUUUAGCUUCUCAAAAUAAAAGAUCAAAUAAUUUGAAAAUGCAUAAGUUUUUAACUUAUUUUAAUUAUAUUUGAUUUUCUUUCGUAUUUUCCAUUGUACAAUCAAACAUGAGAAAUCAUUUUCCUUAACAUUUUUUUUUUCUUUCCUUAGUACUUUCUGGGAACGAAACAUAACCACAAUGUAUUGACUUUUUCCUUAAUACAAAAUUUUUGUAAAUAUUAUUGCUUGUCCUUUUAGUUAAAGUUUUACUUAUCAUCAAGUGAUCUCCCAGGCUUGCCCUCCUAGAGAGACUUGUGCCUCAUCUGUUGAAUUGAUGUUAAGGUGUCGUGGUUUACCUAGUAACAUCUGAAUUUUACUUCUCUAAAAAUUACACAUGCAACUACAAGUUUGGUUUGAGGAGCUUUUAGUUGUUAUCCAGUCCCAUGUUAUAUUUACCAAAGAAACCCCUUUAAGCAAUCCCAUUCUGAUUAUCACAUCUUUUCUUCAGGCAAUAGAAACUGGGGUUGGUUAUGGGCAGUGGCUCCAUGGAGAAGCUGUUGCAGCUGGCAUGGUAUGGUAUCCACAAUUUUCUGUUUUCCUCAUCCACCUCCCCUUGUUCAGUCAAGUCUGUAUACAUCCGCAUGCAAGCAUGUAUGCUCAUGGGUGUAUUUGUGUGUCCUUAUCUCUUUUUUUGAUCACUAUCAUGUGUAUUCUGCACCAAUGUUUAGGUCAUGGCUGUCGACAUGUCAUACCGCCUUGGUUGGAUUGAUGAUUCAAUUGUGAAGCGAGUUCACAAUAUCAUAAAGCAGGCUAAGCUACCCAUUACCCCACCUGAAAGCAUGACAGUGGAGAUGUUCAAGUCAGUCAUGGCGGUAAGAGAAAAUAUUGCCAAUGCUAACACAUUUGAAGCUUAAAAAACUCCUCUCAUUCUUCUAUAUGUUGGGAUGCAGGUUGAUAAGAAAGUGGCUGAUGGACUGCUAAGGCUCAUUCUCUUGAAAGGUCCUCUAGGCAACUGUGUUUUCACUGGUGACUAUGACAGGAAGGCACUGGAUGAUACACUCCGGGCAUUUGCCAAGUCCUGAUUCCUCAAUUGGACUGUUCCUAUUUAAUCUGCAAUUUUUGUAUUAGAUCCAUGUUGUGUAUUUAGAUAGACAUACCAAAAUGUCUUCCCUGUAGUUUGAACGGAUUUUCGCUUGGACUUUCCUAAAUCUUAUUUGGUAGAAAGCCUCUUAAGAAGUUGUAAUUUAAGCAAUCAUGCUAUUAAUAAGAAUUGCCCUAGUCUCAAAAUUUAUUGGGGGUAUUCAUAUUCGUAUUUUUGCCUUUUGCCUCGUUUUGUCCUUUGACUCGUUGUCCGUCACCUGCUCCCCUGCAUACUGCAUGUAUUCAUGUAUUUCCAUAUGAGAUGUGAACCAAUGUCAGUUAGCUCUGUUUUGGUAUAUUGUCAAAACAAAACGGUACGUAUUCCUGCGUCUUUUGGCUAGGGAGGGUGCCGCACCCUAUUAUAACUACUGACCGUUUGUGCCCCUUAUAAACAAGGGUCACUCUCUCACUCAGUUGCCAGGGGGGUUCCCCUGGACCCCCAUUUGUCACAGGCCCCUGAUCUCCACCACUGGCUCAGCGGAGUUCGGGCAUCUAUCUCCUCUCCGAUCUCUACUAAUUAUAAUGCUAACGAGGUACUAGCUUUUCUACAGGGAAGAGAGAGAAAGCAUAUAACUAAGUAAACGAAAGAUGACUCGUUCAAGCCUGUUGAGCUUGAUAGUUCAUAGAGAGGUUAACUAUUAAGAACAUGCCAACAUGGUAGGCACCGACUCGUUAGUGAUUGGAUUUUAAGCGAUAAGCUUUUUGAACAAAAUUAGCUCUACAUAUGUUAGAUGGGCUUAGAAUGUGGCCCAAUGGGGCGAGGAGCGUGAAACCCAACCUGAUUCCGAAAGGGGCCCAGCUGGUUUAGGUGUCUGUGUCACAGCAACGAGGGUGGUUGAAGAUCAAAAGAAAAAGGGGAAAGGAAAAUCCAAAAUGAGAGAGAACAAGUGUUGGAUUCUCCAUCCAACAGGUAGCAACAAACAAGGGCGUAAGUGUCACUCGUUAAGGCUGCAAUGUGUGACAGACAGGCGAGCGAGUAGGAACUUGGAACAAAAAAAUGAAAAAUGAAAAAUGAAAAAUAAAAAAAAAUAAAAAAACAGUCGCACUGCAUUUUCAGCAAAAUAAAAAGAGGCCAUACCCAAUACCUAUUGCCUGCACAGCGCAAACCCUCACUGACCAUCCCAUAUUCCCAAAUUCCAUUCCUGUGGAGGCCCACUGGAAACUNNNNNNNNNNNNNNNNNNNNNNNNNNNNNNNNNNNNNNNNNNNNNNNNNNNNNNNNNNNNNNNNNNNNNNNNNNNNNNNNNNNNNNNNNNNNNNNNNNNNGUUUGAACGGAUUUUCGCUUGGACUUUCCUAAAUCUUAUUUGGUAGAAAGCCUCUUAAGAAGUUGUAAUUUAAGCAAUCAUGCUAUUAAUAAGAAUUGCCCUAGUCUCAAAAUUUAUUGGGGGUAUUCAUAUUCGUAUUUUUGCCUUUUGCCUCGUUUUGUCCUUUGACUCGUUGUCCGUCACCUGCUCCCCUGCAUACUGCAUGUAUUCAUGUAUUUCCAUAUGAGAUGUGAACCAAUGUCAGUUAGCUCUGUUUUGGUAUAUUGUCAAAACAAAACGGUACGUAUUCCUGCGUCUUUUGGCUAGGGAGGGUGCCGCACCCUAUUAUAACUACUGACCGUUUGUGCCCCUUAUAAACAAGGGUCACUCUCUCACUCAGUUGCCAGGGGGGUUCCCCUGGACCCCCAUUUGUCACAGGCCCCUGAUCUCCACCACUGGCUCAGUGGAGUUCGGGCAUCUAUCUCCUCUCCGAUCUCUACUAAUUAUAAUGCUAACGAGGUACUAGCUUUUCUACAGGGAAGAGAGAGAAAGCAUAUAACUAAGUAAACGAAAGAUGACUCGUUCAAGCCUGUUGAGCUUGAUAGUUCAUAGAGAGGUUAACUAUUAAGAACAUGGUAGGCACCGACUCGUUAGUGAUUGGAUUUUAAGCGAUAAGCUUUUUGAACAAAAUUAGCUCAACAUAUGUUAGAUGGGCUUAGAAUGUGGCCCAAUGGGGCGAGGAGCGUGAAACCCAACCUGAUUCCGAAAGGGGCCCAGCUGGUUUAGGUGUCUGUGUCACAGCAACGAGGGUAGUUGAAGAUCAAAAGAAAAAGGGGAAAGGAAAAUCCAAAAUGAGAGAGAACAAGUGUUGGAUUCUCCAUCCAACAGGUAGCAACAAACAAGGGCGUAAGUGUCACUCGUUAAGGCUGCAAUGUGUGACAGACAGGCGAGCGAGUUGGAACUUGGAACAAAAAAAUGAAAAAUGAAAAAUGAAAAAUAAAAAAAAAUAAAAAAACAGUCGCACUGCAUUUUCAGCAAAAUAAAAAGAGGCCAUACCCAAUACCUAUUGCCUGCACAGCGCAAACCCUCACUGACCAUCCCAUAUUCCCAAAUUCCAUUCCUGUGGAGGCCCACUGGAAACUCCAUUCAUCCUCAAGCCUCUCUCAAUUUCCUAUUUAGACCAUGCCGGUGCUGGAACUCCCUGGAUCCCGCAUUCGUUGAUCGCCGCCCACCGGUGAUCUCUGCCCUUGUAUGGACACUCCCGGUCGGAAAGCGGCGGAGCCCUCCUCAGCUGCCGCUUCCACUCACUCCCUGGCUCGCUCCUCCAAGAGACCUCGUUUCCUCGCCUCUUCUUCAUCGUCGCCCAUCCCCACUCGCUCCCAUCGCAGUUCGCGACUCAUGGAAUCGGCCACUGAGGCGUCCGGUUCUAAGAAGGGCAAGGAGAAGGAAUCCGAGUUGAGGUUGAAGAUCAAAGAAAAGCAGAGAAGCUUAGGGUUAAGUAUCGAUAGCGACGAUGUGCUUGGUCGUGAUGACGACGACGAUGACGACGACGAUGAUGAUGAUGACGAGGACGACGGUGAGGGCAGUUUUGGAAUUUUGCAUCAGAAUUUGACCUCUGCGAGUAGUGCUCUACAAGGUCUUCUCAGGAAACUCGGUGCCGGACUCGACGAAUUGUUGCCGUCGGCUGCCGUGGCCGCGACGCCGGGGAGUGGGCGGCUCAAGAAGAUACUAUCCUCACUGCGGGAGGAGGGCGAAGAAGGGCGUAAAAUCGAGGCGUUGACGCAGCUCUGCGAUUUGCUAUUGAUGGGGACGGAGGAUUCGCUGUGUGCUUUUCCGGUUGACUCCUUCGUGCCGGUGCUUGUGGAAUUGCUUAAUUAUGAGAGCAAUGCGGACAUAAUGUUGCUUGCUGCUAGGGCAAUUACGCAUCUCUGCGACGUGUUGCCAUCAUCUUGCAGUGCGGUCUUGCAUUACGGUGCGGUUCGGUGUUUCUGUGCCAAGCUGCUGGAAAUUGAAUGUAUGGACUUGGCUGAACAGGUGAUUUCUUGUGGGCACAUGUAAAUUCAUUGUUGUAAAACAUUUUAUAUUAUUUGAUUGCUGACAAAAUGGAGGAAAACUACAAAAAAAAAUUAUGUUUCGGGUCUUAAUGUUAAUGUUGAAUCUUAAUGUUUAUGUUGUGGUAUUCAGUUAAGAUAAUCAUUUGAUUCGACAAAGCUGAAUGGUUUGAGACAGGCUUAGUUGAGUGGACGUUUUAGUUUUCCGAGGUCCCAAAGAAUUGAAAAUCCAAAAUUUUGAUUUUUGUUCCCUCUGUAUUCUCAGAAACAAUUGGUGAUCUUUGGGGAAAAGGCGCCGAGUUCCAAUAUCUGAUAUUUAUGUUUCUGUUUAUUGCUAGAAAACUGGGUGUCCAUAUUACGAUACACAUUUUCUUAUUGAAACAAAUUUCUUUAGCUAUAGCUGAUAAAGGGCUCUUUGUUUUCUGGUUGGGUGAAAUAAAUUUCUUUGGCUGUAGCUGAUAAAAGGCUCGCCCUUUGUUUUGUUUGUGACAAUAAGUGCAGUCUUUGCAAGCUCUGAAGAAGAUAUCCCAGGAGCAGCCUACUGCCUGUUUGCGAGCAGGUGCUCUAAUGGCAGUGCUUUCUUUUCUUGACUUCUUCCCAACAGGUGUUCAGGUAAAAUUUUGGCUAUUUACUCGUAUGCUGUGCUCCUUGGUCUUCUGGGGCCAUAUUGGGAUUUUUCUGAAGAAGUUUAUUUCCAUGUUUUCAGAGAGUAGCAUUGUCCACUGCUGCCAAUAUGUGUAAGAAACUCCCUCCAGAUGCAGCCGACUUUGUGAUGGAAGCUGUGCCUCUUUUGACAAACCUUCUUCAAUAUCAAGAUUCCACGGUAAUAAGAGUAUUGAAUUAACUUCCUCUUUUGGAUCCCAAAUUUUCAAAAUAAAACCAGAAUAAACAUGUCUGUGCUGAUAGAUGGGGUUGCGCAUCUUCAGAGGGCCAAGAUUAUUGAGCUAUAUCAUUUAAAAAUUUAUAUAAAUCAGCCGAAUUUAACUGACGCAUCCAGCUGCUUUCCUGGAAAAUGGAAUCCCAGAAUUGGGGAAGCUAUUUUAUUUGAAUUUGAAGAAAAAAGGCAUUUUAUCAGCAUAAUACCUAUAGCAUAUUGUGCUGCAAGUUUGGCACUUUCUGAAUUCAAUUUCAAGGGUCUACUUCCCAAAUACUGAACAGUGCCUUUUGUAAUCCCUUCCAUAGCCUUUUUGUAUUUAUUCUCGUAUAUAGGCUGUGUGUUAUAUUUUCAGGUGUUAGAGCAUUCUUCUGUCUGCUUGACUCGCAUUGUGGAAGCAAUUGCUUCAUCCCCUGACAAGUUAGAUGAACUAUGCAAUCAUGGACUGAUCGAACAAGUUACUGCACUUAUUUCUACAAGUAAUUCUGGAGGUGUUCAGGCAUCCCUGAGCACAUCUACAUACACGGUAGUUGAAGAUGUACACUUUCAGAUUGAUUGCUUAUCUUUGUUUGGGUCAAAUUCUGACUUAUCGGUCAUGCAGGGCUUAAUCCGGCUUCUUUCAAUAUGUGCAAAGGGGUCUCCCUUAGGAGCCAAAACUUUGCUUCACCUUGAAAUCAGUGGCAUUCUUAAAGAUAUACUUCCAGUUUCCAGCUUAAUUGGAAGUGUUUCUGUUCCCCCUUCUUUGACCAGACCCCCUGAUCAGGUAAUAUCCAUCUUCCCUUUCUACUGCUUUCCCAUAGAUUAUAAUAAAUUAUGGAUAAUAUUACAUAAGAAAAGGAAGAGUAUAAUAUAGAUAGAUAGAUGGAUGGAUGGAUGGACAGAGGGUUAGAGGGUUAUUAUGUAACUUAGUUUUUUCAACUCUGGAUACUACCUAGUGAAAUAAUGUUCCUAGUGUGUCUCUGCUGAUCCAUCCAUCCAUCUCUUUUCUCUCUCUCUCUCUCUCUCUCUCUCUCUCUCUCUCUCUCUCUUUGUAUAUAUAUAUAUUGGAUGAAUAGAUUGAGAGAGAGAGAGUUAUUAUGUAACCUAUAUUUUCCAACUCUGGAUACCACCAAGUUGAAUAAUGUACUUGGUGCAUCAUAAAACACAUUAGUAGUGCCUAACCUAAUUUCUUAAGGUGGCUAACUGCCCAAUUGGAAAACAGUUUAGAUGACUAGGCAUGAAUUUGAUAAUCAAAACACUAUGCUGAGAAGGAUAGCUCAUGUACAUGUCAGACACCAAUACUUGCUUGUUGAUGUACUUGUUAUGUAGUUGAAGUGUAGCUUUGCAUAUUAAUGAUUAAGAUGGAUGUGCCUUCUUUAAAUGAUAAAAGAGAGUACAAAAAAUGGCUUCAUAUUCAUUUCUGGUCAUUACAGCUUGUGAAUUAUGAUUCAAAUUGGGCCUUGGAUCAAGAUUUACGGAACGCAUGGGAUUUGUAAAACUAAAACAAUGCCCCUUAAAAACCUUUCAAAGGGACUCUUAAUCCCAAAAUCUCCCUUCUCUUGUUUUGGCAAACAUAAUGGGUCAUUUCAUCGAGAUGCAUGCUUGUUGCUGUUCAGUAAAUGAUGGUGGGAAAAGUUUAGGUUGGAUACCUGAUGAUGAAAAUACUCCAUGCUUGAGGUUCAUUUGUUAUUAUUCAAACUUUCCUGUGUACAUGGGUUGUGCACCCUUCUUUUUUUAUUAAGCAUCCUAUUAUCUUUUGUUUGCCAAUUAAAAAAAUUUGUUACUGCUCAAACCUCUACAGUUGGAGUUAUUUUUCAUAACGCAUCAAAGAAGUUUUACAUAAUGAACCUUGCAAAGUCUCUCUAUCAUUGGAUUUAAAUUGAUUUUCAUUUGAAUGCACAGAUUUUCGAGAUAGUGAACCUUGCAGAUGAGCUUCUCCCCCCACUACCAGAAGGAACUAUCUCCCACCUGAAUUAUUCUAGUUUUCAAAUGAGAAGUUCUGCAGGAGAGAAGUCUCCUUCCAGUGGUUCUGGUAAGGAAGAAAUUACUAAUGGAAGUAUGCCUGAGGCUUCAGCACGUGAGAAAUUAUUAUGUGAUCAACCAAAAUUUCUGCAGCAGUUUGGAGUGGAUCUUCUUCCUGUUUUAGUACAGGUUGGUACUUGUAAUGAACUUGCUUGCUCUAUAAUUUUUACUCACUCCAUUUCAUUAAUAAGGAGGUUUUGGAUUUCUUGAAGCAGGUAUAUGGGUCCACUGUGAAUGUCCAAGUUCGCAACAAGUGUCUCUCUGUCAUUGGAAAGUUAAUGUACUUCUGCACAGCAGAUAUGAUUCUAUCUUUAUUAAAUUCAACAAACAUAUCGAGGUACUUAUUUUUCUUCUUCUUGUGAGAGCAGAAUUUUUGAAACUUCAAUAUCUGAGUUUAUUAUUUGGCUUUCCAGUUUCCUAGCUGGUGUUUUAGCAUCGAAGGAUCCGCAAGUUUUGAUUCCUGGCCUCCAAAUGGCUGAGAUUCUCAUGGAAAAGCUUCCUAAAACUUUCUCCAGGAUGUUUGUGAGAGAAGGAGUGCUUCAUGCUGUAGACACACUUAUAUCUCAUGAUUUGGAAAAUGUAGGUGGUGACCAAAUAUUGUCUGCUGAAAGGGGUAAUGAUUCCAUAUCUGGAACAUCAUUGCGUUCAAGGUGUUAUCGACGGGGAAUGGGCUACUCUAAUCCAGAUGGAAGUUUUCUUGAAGAACCGAAGGGUUAUAUUUCAGUUCACAAUGGUUCAUCUUCAGCAUCAGUAGAAAUUCCAUCUAGAAAUUCUAGGAGACUGGCAGUUAGUACCCGUGCUAAAGCUUUCAAACAUAAAUACUUCCCUUCAUGCCCUGGGGAAGCUGAGGUUGGAGUUACAGAUGACCUUCUACGUUUGAAAAAUCUCUGUGUUGAGUUGAAUUUAUGUGUAAAUGAUCAAAAUACCAAGAGAAAGGGAAAAUCUAAAGCUUCAGGACCCAACUUGACCAAUC